AACAAUGCUUCCUUCCAGCACCCCACAGCGAUACCGACACCACUACUAGAAGCGCACUACUACCACACCGGCCUCAUCAAUGCCACGACACAAGAGCUUCCGAAGGGGCCACCGAAAUUGUUCAACUUCACCGAUGAAGCCUUAAUCCCUUUUGGACCCAAAGAGAUGCAGCUAGAGCCAACUUACAAGGCGACGUUGGUCCGGAGGUUCCGACACGGUGCUGUGGUGGAAAUAGUCUUUCAGAGCACAGCGAUCCUACAGGGAGACUCCAAUCCAAUGCACCUACAUGGGCAUGACAUGAUUGUGCUUGCACAAGGCCUUGGCAACUAUGAUCCAGCGAAGGCCGUGGCCACGUACAACCUGGUUAAUCCACUAAUAAAGAACACUGUGCUUGUCCCAAAUCUUGGGUGGAUCGCCAUCCGAUUUGUCGCCAAUAAUCCAGGUGUGUAUAAGAUUUGAAUGCUAGUUUCAUGUUGGAAAAUAUUAUGUGGAAACCCCUAUCUUGGUUUAAUCGUGGAAAGCCCUAGUGAACCUCCCUUGAAUAUAUUUUUGUAUAGGUCGUCGAUUGUUGGAAAUAGUCUUGUGAACUUGUUUAUUUGAAGUUUAGAGAAAAUCUUGCUAAAUGGUAGAAGAUUGGACUUCACUAGCAGCAUAACAUUAUGUUUGUUCCAUUUAUUAUUUUAGACCAUGAAAGUCCUCAAGACGUUCAAGUUUGCUGUUGUUAAUUAUGCGUUAUAAGGCCUAAACUGUUGUAGGAAAGGAAAAUUCUGGAACAAAAGAUGUAAGCAUAUUUCAUUUAUUUAACCUUCCAGUCAAUACAUAUUUCUAGAGCUACAAAAACAAGUCUUAUGAUAAAAUAGCGCAAAAUUUUAUCAAUAAGAAAUCAUUCAUCUUCUAAAUUUUACUUCCUUCUAUCCCAAAUAUAAGCCUAUCAAGACUCGUGUUCUUCAAUUCAGGUUUGUAUUCCAAUGACCAUAUUGAAUAAUACUCAAUUAACAAAAUUAUUACGGUGCUUUGUUCAUUUAAGCUAAAAAAUUGAUAACUUUAGAAAGGGGUCGGAUAAAAUAGGAAAGUGGAAUCAAAAUUAUGUCUCAAAGUUGUUUGACUACUAUUUGGUGCAUUGUGAGAAUGACCACUUACAUUUAUACUUGGUAUCUGAAGGAGUCAAUUUUUAAGCAUUCCACGAGACUUCAAUAUAAUUAUCCAGAGUUGUAUUCCUGGGAAAUUAUUCAAUAAAAUUUAUUAUAGUGUUUUUCCGAUUCGCACCCAUAUUUGUUUGUCUAAGUUGCCUGCCAAAGCACCUCUUGGCGUCAAAAACUAACUUAUUGUCUUUUAUGUUGUACAGGGGCAUGGUUCAUGCAUUGCCACUAUGAGUUUCAUCUAUCAAUGGGCAUGGCAGCAGUGUUUAUUGUAGAGGAUGGACCAACAAAUGACACGUCUCUCCCUCGACUGCCAGUGAAUUUUCCGACUAUUGGUCAAGACAUCAAUCUCAUGCCCAAUGACUUAUAUCUCAAAACUAUGAAAAGUUAAAACUAGUGCACAAAGGGAGUACCUGUGUAUGUAUGAAGACAACUCCUAUUACUUAUUUUGAAUAAAUGGUUAUGAAUAAUGAAUGUGCGUAAUGAGAUAAAUGUACAUAUAUUAUUAAUGUCAAACUUUGUUGAACUGAUAAAAUGUCAUGCACCUAACAAUUUGGAUUGAAAAGAUGUCGAACUAGUCAUGGUUGCAUCGCCACCCGCACAAUACCCUAUCCAUGUCGGCCAAUCAGUACCGGCCGAAAACCAGAAGGGCCAUCUACAUUGGCUGAGCAACCAACCCGCAGAGGGCUUGAAAACAAUGACCAGCUUCACUGCACAAUAUUUGUACUAGCAUGAAGAAGCCUGGCACCGAUAAUAUCCGUGUCAUCCAUGCUGAGAUUCCAUUAAUAUUAGCAUUGGAACAGACAUAUAUCAUCUCUCAAGAAGACCCUGAUAUGUAAAAGCAUGUUGUUGGCGCUACAAUUUUACUGACCACAUGCCAAGCAUAUGCAAUUACUUGGAUUCAAAGUUGAAGCAUAGUUAUAUUUUUUUCACACGAUGUCGAGAAGGAGAAGACCGCAGGCACAAUUCAGUGAAUCAUGGUCAAGUACUGUCGAGGAGGAGGAGAAGACCGCAGACACUCAUUUUCUGAAGGAGUCACGUUUUGCAGGCAAUGCAGCAACUUAUUCGGAAGUUCAACACACUGAAUAGUAUUGUCUUCCUUGCAAACUCUUCCACAAGCUGGAGUGCUAACUUGCAUUCCAGGAGUGGGAGAACUUUCUAGAAAGACUGACAUUUUUUUCAGCAUGUCUGUUUCGGGAACCAUGCCCCCUAAGCCCUUUCAUGCAUACUUCUCCAAUAAGAGAAUCACUCCAAGAUGAAGGAACAUCUUGCUCGGCGUCCUCGGAAUUUUGGUGCAAAAAUAUUUGUAAUAUCUUCUGGUCAUGAGCUUCUCGUCAUUCACGAUCAUCAAAAUAUUACCGUGGUCUGUAGGCUGUAAUGCUCCACGAUUGGUUCCCCGAAAGCUAUGAGUAGAGAUGGGUAGAAUACGGAAAUUCAUGACGCCAUGCACGAUCCAUAGUCCCAGGCCUUCCAAGCACUAAUGAGCAAACACUGAUUUAGAUCUAGUGGAAUGACAUCACGAAUCAUAACAUCACCGUGUCCACAUAAUGAAAACUUCACCUUCACCUUGUGUACGUAUAAACCACGGUUAUUUAACCAUGAAAUAUGUGGCCUCGUAUGAUGCAUCCGCGACAGUCCCAAAACAUUCACAAGACAUUCACUUGCAGCAUUGAUGACAGAGAAUUGAUCCACAAUCGUAGCACUUGUACCCGCAACAACUUCACAGCGAGUGUAGCACAUGGAAAGAUCAGGAUCCACGGUUGGAUCCUGCUCAUAAUUUUGCAAUGCAGUGCCCAGAAUCAUGGUAGCAAUCAUAAAAAAAAUCUCAAGUAGUACAGUUAACAGCAGAUAUACCGUGAUCAACUUAGCAAAACUGAUACGACCUGAUAAGGACAUGCUUGCUGUGCACAGGAUCUGUCCCACUCUUUGACGGUACUAAUCACUUACAGAAUUUAGUCUCAAUAGUAUGGCUGUCCAAUAUAUGCUCCCUUUCUAAAUUCAGUUGUCGUGAUUAUUUGCAGACUAGGAAUGGUGAUAGACUAAUCUGAAAAUACUAGCAAAACAGAUACUGCACAAGAUAUAUAGCUUCGUGUACAGAGCCAAUUAACUGGAAUAUGAACAACAACAUUCAUAGCUAUCUUCUUUUAAAUCAGGCAACAGCUGGACACUCUUACAGCCACAAGAUGGAAAUCUCCACAGACACGGCUACCAGAUUGAUUUCCACUUACAGCCACAAGAUCAAGACAAUAAUCUCCUCACGAAACAGGGUUGAAAUAAUAGCCGUAUAACUCAGCAGGAAAACACUAUUCUGUUUGAUUAAACACCAACACACAAGCAAUAGUACUAAUGAAAAAUGGGAUUGGUUUAUAGUAGAUGCAAUCCAAAAACCCUAUGUCAAACCGUAGAAGCUAAUUAAACGAUAGAUUAACACACAACCAGGUAAUAGUAAUAAAUAUUCAGGCCCGAUCGCUAAUGAUUCUACUAAAACUUAAUCAACAUAACUACCAAUCUGAACAUACGUGCAUGCAUGCCAUUAAGUAUUUUUUUUUGUGUGUCUUUUCUUGUGGUCAGGCAUCUGAGUAUUAUUGCUGGCACAUCAUAAAGCUUGUCCUGGGCUGCUGGUAGAUAUGCACCAGGUGUCCACGGUUUUGUGGUUGCUCAGCUCAUAAGCAAUUGAUGCCUGACAGUGACUGUCGUUGUGUGAGCUGUAUUACCUCAGGUCGCUUCUGACAAAUAAGGUUGCGUCGUAAAAGCAGCUAGCUCUUUUAGUCCGGUUGCAAAAAAAAUGAAAAAAAACAAACGAUGCCAGUUGGCACUCAACAAUUGAGCUAGCAAUAAUAGUGUGGUACGUUUGUCUGUAAUAAGAUGUAUGGUGCCUGACAUUGAAUAUAAAAUCCCCAUGAUCACCUACCGGGACAUGCAAUUUAUCUGGCCGGAAUGGGCAAUAAAAUCCCUUCGAUCCGACAGAUAGAUUUGCUUGUGUUACAUUCCUAGUAUUCCUAAUAUUUUUAUUUUCUGCUCAUGUCUACUGAUAAUUUUGCUACAUAUGGUGCCAUUCUAAGUGUCCUUUUGUGGUUAGCAAUCUGUUCCACUGUGCUAUAUAGCUUGUCUGCUAGCCACAUCAUAGCGCGUGAACCACAGUGGGCGCUCAGACAUCGUGCAUUAAGUCUGAGGUGAUCUGCGUUCCUCCUCAGCUCAUCAUAAGCUAAAUGAAGCCUUACAGUGACUGACAUGGGCCAAUGGCAAUCCUGCAAACACAAAAUCACAUUUUGAAUCAUUUUGGAAAAAAAAAGAGCGUCCAAUUUCGACUUCAUAUGCAAAAAUUGAGCCUGUUUUAUUGCAGACGGCCGAGUACAAGUCAGUUAUUUGAUUUUCUGCUCAUGUACUCUGCUUUUGUUCCUAUUUCUUUCAACUGUUAAACAUCCAUCGGUCAUGAUUUGUUAAGUACCUUUAUUAUACUGAAGAAUUUAAUUAAAUGGCCAUUGACAAUGACACAUUUGUUGGUUCCUGUAAAAACAACUAGGCCCCCCACCAUGAUACAUUAAUAAAAAACUGACAUGUUGAUUAGAAAUACUAACAUAUAUUGUGCCUUUCCCCAUCUCAACCUUGUCUGGUUUCCUCGUUGAGGCCCCAAACCAAGCUCUUGUUCAUCGAUAUCUAGCUAUAGAAGAAAGCUCUGGAACUAGUUAGGCUCUCUCUUAGUCUAGAAGUGUCAUAGGAAUCUAGUCUCGCUCGUUGUCGUCCCAGCUACCGACCGCUAUAAGGUUAGAGUAUCCUUAUGUCACCAUGGUCAUUGCUCUGUCAUCUUAACCUGUUGAUAUACUAAGUAACUUUUUAUCAUUCAAUUCUUCGAUGCGCUUUAACCAUUGUGCUUCCUCGUGGAAAUUAUACGAUACCUCAGAAUACUACCUGGUGAAAUUCUACAUCGGUAAUUCUUUUAGCAGAAUAAACAUUUAUUUUGAGGCAUAAGAAACACUAACAACAUCGCUAUCACCAGGCGCGUCCUGCUCUAGCUUGGUGCCUGACGCCUGGAAUGUGAAGCAAGACAGGGUGGUAGCAGCGGAUGUGGUCAAGCUCUGACUGGUGAAGGAUGAGGCAAUUGGUUCUGAGUACCCUUUUGCUCUUCUUCCGAGUUCCAAGAAUGUUGAGGAGCUUCAUGACCACAGGUGGGAGGAGAAGGUGCUCUUCGACUGGGAUGUCCUAGGACAGUGUUGGUUGUGCUGUAAUGAAAAAAUAUGUUGUUUAUAUUUUGUGUAAUAAAUAUACAAAUAUUUAUAUUGUGAUCCUUGCAAACACUUCCAUGAGAUCGAGUGCUAACUUGCAUUCUGAGGGUAGGAGAACUUUCUAGAAAAGCCGACCUUUUUUCAGUAUGUUUGCUUCGGGUACCAUGCCCUCUAAGCCCUUACAUGCAUUCUUCUCCGGUAAUAGAAUCACUCCAAGAUGAAAGCACAUCUUGCUUGGUGUCCUAAAAAUUUUGACCAAAGAUAUUUGUCAUCUUCGGGUCACCUACCAUUGAUGUAAUCUUCUAUUUCUUGACAUGAGCUUCUCUUCGUCGGCGAUCAUGUGGUGUGCAGGCUGUAAUGCGGAAACAUUAGUCCCCCAAAAUAUAUGAGUAGCGGUGGGCAGAAUACGGAAGCUACAUCAUGAUGCCAUGCACGAUCCAUAGUCAAGGGCCUUCCAAGGAACAAUGUGCAAACACUGGUUUCAAGUGGAAUGACAUCACAAAUCACAACAGCACAACUCCACACGGUAAAAACUGAAACUUCACGUCAUGUUUAAUCUUAAUACCUUGGUUAUUUCACUAUAAAGUAUAUGGCCUAUGAUUCAUCCGUGAUGGUCCCAAAACUUUCACAAGACAUUCAUUUGCUGCAUUGAUGGUAGAAAAUGGAUGCACAAUCGUAGCACAUGUACCCGCACCAACUUGAUAGCGAGUGUAGAACAUAGAAAGAUUAUGAUCCAAGGUUGCAACCUGUUCAUAAUUUUGCAAUGCAUGCCAAUAAACCUCAUUGUAGCUAUCACCAAAUAAAAAAAUCAGAAACAAUACAAUUACUGCCAUAUGUACCUUGAUCAACCUAUCAAAACUGAUUCGACCUAAUAAGGACAUCCUUAAAUCACCACGUGUCCACGGUUUUCUGGUUGCUCAGCUCAUAAGCAAUUGAUCAUGCUUGAUCAUUGUUGGGCCAUUGCAUGUCCAUUGGCAAUGUUGACAGAAAUAAUUGAGCUACCAAUAAUAGUGUUGCACGUGUCUGUAACGGGAUGUACGGCGCCUGACAAUAAUAGGGCACCGGAACCUGCAAUAUGUCUGGCCGGAAUAUGCAAUAAAAUCCUUUCGAUCUGACAGACAUAUUUGUGUUACAUUUCUAGUAUUCAUAGUAUUUUUAUUUUCUGCUCAUGUCUACUGAUAAUUUUGCUAUGUAUGGUGCCGUUCUAAGUGUCCUUUUGUGGUCAGCAACUUGAGCCCCUGCUGGCUACAUCAUAGCUUGUCUGCUGGCCCGGUGCGCGUGAACCACGAGGGAAGGACCACAGUGGGCGCUCAGACAAUGUGAGGGUGGGUGGAUACCCUCCUAAACUUCACCUAUCACAUCGGAUAUUUGGAUACUAAUUAGGAGUAUUAAACAUAGUUUAAUUACAAAACUAAUUGCACAGAUGGAGUCUAAUUCACAAGACGAAUCUAUUAAGCCUAAUUAGUCAAUGAUUUGACAAUGUGGUGCUACAGUAAUCAUUUUCUAAUGAUGGAUUAAUUAGCCUUAACAGAUUCGUCUCGCGAAUUAGACUCCAUCUGUGCCAUUAGUUUUAUAAUUAGCUCAUGUUUAGUCCUUAUAAUUAGCAUCCGAACAUCCGAUGUGACCCUGCUAAAGUUUAGCACCUCGUAUCCAAACACCCCCCAAGUCUGAGCUAAGCUCCCUUCUUCCUCAUCUCAUAAGCGGUUGAUGCAUGCCUUACAGUGACUGACAUGGUCCAAUGGCACCAAUCCUGCUAACACAAAAUAAGAUUUUCAAUCAUUUUUGGGAAAAAAGAGGGUCCAAUUUUGACUCCCUAUGCAAAAGUUGCGCCUGUUUUAUCGAACACUAUGCAAGUUAUAUUAUAUUAGGUUUUUUUCGGUGCAUGUUUCAAUUGACAACUAAAGAUGAUCCACAACCAAGGACUCCACUAGACAUGCAAAACGGAAGUGGAAUUUUGUAGUUGACACCUUUUUUAUUAAAUUGAAGUCGUUUGUAUAUGUAAAUUAUCACAAAAUGUUCUGGACGGUAAUGGUUAAAAGGAAGCCAAGCAUGGGUGGAGUGGCCUGGCUAGAGGGCAUCACGCAUAGGUUUGAGGUUGCAAAAACGGUUGAGGCAAGGGGUUGCAAACGAACCGACUGUACAGUCGGAUCACAAAACGUUAGUACAAAUUGUACAGAUGCUUGCUUAAAGUCGGUUCACAAACCUUCAGUAUAAAUAGUUCUGUAAUUGUGAUUUGUAGUUGUAAUAUAUCACAGGCCGAAACAUGCAGAUACAGGCAUCCCAGGACAUGCAACGAAAAGGAAAAAACAAGUGAUCAUUUUAUUGGUGUUUUAAACCGUCAUGUAACUCGUGUUUACUUUUGUUACAAGAAAUAGAAAUGCACAAAGACCUUUCUAUAAUACUAUUACUUUGCUACGUGGAAUUGGAACUUUGUAUCUGUGUCGUGGUUAGCGUCACGGUGUGGCAGAGGUAUCUCUGGAGCUGCCGAGCUAGUGCUGGUUAUCUGUGUCGUUGUGGCCUUGUGGCCUCGUGGCAUGGUAGGUGCUCAGCAAUUAAUCGCACGUAUUGAAAACGUGUCUGUGGUCCUAUUCUCCUGGAGGCACUCAGUCACCGGAUACUUAUAUUGCUCAGCUCACCAAGCUCAUAUAAUGUCGUACCUAGUAGCGCGAGCACAGCAACGCACGCAGCCAUGGCGAGCAUGGAGAGCCGAAGCCUCCCCAGGGCAGCAGCCACCUCCAUGGCUCUAGCUAUCGCCAUUGUCUUCCUGAUCUACACAACCGAACGACUGGGAGAUGCGGCAUCCGUUGAGCACACGUUCAUGGUAAGUACGCCUGAUCCUGUUUCAUUCCCUUUGAUCGACUUGUCAGGCGUUAAUCGGCUAUGGUGCAACGAUAUUUACAUUGUAUUAUAGGGUGUUUUUUAAGACAAGCAUAUACAUCGAUAAACGGUUCUAGAAAAUUAUUUUCUAAAUUAAGAUAUGCGUAAUCAACAAAGGCGUACAUUAGUGGUCACUGGUAGAAAACUCGUCUUUAGUCCUGGUUGGUAGGGAGCAAAUCUCCCGAAAAUUCAUUCGGGAUAAACCAAUUGAGACAUAAGGGGGUGUUUUGUCCCGGGUCACUCAACCGGGACUAAAGACCCCCUGGGAUUCGAACUCGCGACCUCAAGCCUCGUGCGUAGCUUCCUUGCCAUCCCACCUACACAACACAUCUAACUAUAUAGGGGAUGUAAUCCUUUUGUAUUAACUCGUGGGGACCCUUCUAUCCCAGUUGGAAACACCAACCGAGACUAAAGACCCCUUUUAUCCCGGUUGGUAUUACAAACCAGGAUAAAAGGGUUCGAGGGAUUUAGUCUGUUUUUUACCCAUCCGUGGGGAUCCUUUUAUCCCAGUUGGAAACACCAAUCGGGAUAAAAGAUCCCCCUUUUAUCCCGGUUGGUAACACCAACCGGGAUAACACCAACCGGGAUAAAAGGGGGGUCUUUUAUCCCAGUUGGUGUUUCAAACCGGGAUAAAAGGCCUCUUAGGGCCUUUUUUUUCCACUAGCCUUUGCAACUGGGACAAAAGGUCCCGGUUGGUGAGCCCCCGCCAGUGACCGAGCUUUAGUCUCGGUUCGUGAACCUUUUGUCCCGAGCCAACUUUAAACCGGGAUAAAAGGGGUGCAUGGAAGAUGAGUUCUCUACUAGUGGGUUCCCUAUGAAUUCUUAACAAUUCAACCACGAUGUAGCUAGGUAUAUGUGUAUCCAUGCUUGAUGUGAGUCCCCUGCCAGUGAUCGAGCUUUAGUCUCGGUUCGUGAACCUUUUGUCCUGUGCCAACUUUAAACUGGGAUAAAAGGAGGUGCAUGGAAGGUGAGUUCUCUACUAGUGGGUUCCCUAAGAAUUCUUAACAAUUCAACCACGAUGUAGCUAGGUAUAUAUGUAUCCAUGCUUGAUUUCUUGGGACAUGCACAUAUAUAUGUAGGUGAGCCAGGUGAAGAUGACACACUUGUGCAAGGAGACACUGGUCACCGUGGUGAAUGGGCAGCUCCCAGGGCCAGCGAUAUAUGUCACGGAGGGAGACUCGGUGACAGUUCAUGUCGUCAACAAAUCACCCCACAACAUAACAAUCCACUGGUAAUCAGCUGAGUACCGACUCAAUACACUUCAACCUGUUGAUGGACAUUCAAGCAACAAUGAUAAUAAAGAUAGAAAUGAAAUAAUAUAAUAAUAUGCUUUCCAGCAAUUUAUCAACAUUUUUCUUCUGUGCUAUCUGAUGUAGGCAUGGAGUGAAGCAGUGGCUUAACUGUUGGGCUGACGGGGUGCCGAUGAUUACCCAACUCCCUAUCCAGCCAAACCAAAAUUUCACCUACCGGUUCAACGUCAUCGGGCAGGAAGGCACCCUGUGGUGGCAUGCUCACGUCCCCUUCCUCCGGGCAUCACUGCAUGGCGCCCUCAUCAUCCGGCCAAGAAAUGGGGCGAGCUCAUAUCCAUUUCCAAAGCCAGACAGGGAGGUCCCGAUCAUAAUAGGUUCGUGAAUUAUUUGCAUCAUAUUCUCCAGCUGUGUUAGGAGAACAGAAAGAAAUUGUACCUCAUUAUUUAUUGCUGUUUGGAAAAUAGAAGAAUGGACUGUUCCUAUUUGAAUUGAACUGUCUUCGACUUCGGCAGGGGACUAUUGGCAGCUAGACCUUGCACAGGCAGCAAGGAGGAUGAUGCAUGGUUUCUUGUUUUCCUUCGCCAAUGCUUCCACAAUCAAUGGCAAGCUUGGAGAUCUCUUCAAUUGCUCCGGUAAGCAAUUACAGCAUUGAUGUCUGUGUCAACGACAUAUUCCAUUUUUUCUGAAAAAAGUGUCUGCUUCAACUCAACUCUGAAGGUGUGCCGGAAGAUAGCUACGUAUUGGACGUUGUGCCUGGCAAGACCUACCUGCUACGAAUAAUUAACGCCGGGCUAUUCUCCGAGUUCUACCUAAAGAUUGCUGGGCACAAAUUCACUGUGGUUGGUGCCGAUGCCAACUACAUCAGCCCAUACACCACGGAUGUGAUCGCCAUCGCGCCCGGCGAGACAGUGGAUGCCUUGGUUGUUGCUGAUGCGCUCCCUGGAAGGUACUACAUGGUUGCCCUGCCCAAUCAGGCGCCAUUGCCGGACACCCAGACCCCGGAAUACACAACCAGAGGGAUCAUGCAGUACAGCAACACUUACAGCUCUGCCGAUGAUCCAGCAGGACUAAUGUCAGAUCGUGGUGUGGAAGAAAAAGAAGAAGAAGAUAAAGGUUCAUCCGGUGAUGUGCCAGUAGCACCUGAGAUGCCUGAUAUACAUGACACAAUUACAUCUUACUACUUCCACAGCAACCUCACCAACCUGUACCAAACGGUGGUCCCUCAGCGAGUUGAUGAACGUUUGUUCAUCGUGCUCAGCCUGGGUUCAAUAUGUCAGCAUGGCCAGUCCUGCAGGAGGGGUGAUCACAAUGAGACCAUCCUCAUCGCAACCAUGAACAACGUUUCCUUCCAGGAUCCCACGGGGAAGACGCCACUACUAGAAGCACACUACUACCACACUGGAAGCGUGGACUUGAUGCAAGAACUUCCCGACAGACCACCUAGGGCAUUCAACUUCACUGACGAAGCCUUAAUCCCGUAUGGGCCCAAGGAGAUGCGCCUAGAGCCAUCGUAUAAGGCCACGAUGGUGCGGAGGUUCCGGCAUGGUGCCGUAGUGGAGAUGGUGUUCCAGAGCACAGCAGUUCUACAGGGCGAUUCCAACCCGAUGCAUCUACAUGGUCACAACAUGAUCCUUCUUGCACAGGGGUUUGGUAACUUCGACGCCGCGAAAGAUGUUGCAAAAUACAACUUGGUGAAUCCACCGGUGAAGAACACCAUUCUUGUCCCAAAUCUUGGGUGGGCUGCCAUCCGAUUUGUUGCGAACAAUCCAGGUGUGUGUAAGAUUUAUUUGUGUUAGUCGGGUUUCAAAGUCGACGCUGUCAGAUCUAAUGCUUGUCUUAUAUGAUUUACAGGAGUAUGGUUCAUGCAUUGUCACUAUGAAUUCCAUUUGACUAUGGGCAUGGCGGCAGUAUUCAUUGUAGAGGAUGGUCCGACAGUGAACACAUCUCUCCCUCCACCACCUGCUCAUUUUCCAACAUAUUGUGGUCAUGACAACAAUCUCCUUCCAGAUGAACUGUGCCUCCAAACUAAGAAGGAUGCAUGAAAUCCCACGCAUAAAUGUAGUCUGAAAUACUACUGCAACUGCUAUUUUCCAAAUUAACUAGUGGGGAAUUAUACGACAAUCAAUAUGCAUGUUCAUACUACUAUAUCGUCUUGACUCUAUCAAUAAUGUGAGGCCAAUUAUACGACAAUCCCCUUUUAUAUCCAUGUAUGCAUAGCUUUCUUUUUUUUAUAUUCGAUUUUACAUCCUGGUGAAUUGCAAUUUUUAUCUAUAAUUGCAUGUACUCUCUCCGUCCUAAAUUGCAGAUCGUUUUAGCAUUUCUAGCUAGAUUCAUAUCUUUUAUUAAUAGCUUUUAUAAAUACAUGUACUUACAAAUUAGACCCGUGUUCAAGUGGAAGUGACUAGAGGAAUAAUGAAUCAUGUCGAAAGUCCCCCAAACACGAUUAAAAAUUUUCAGUCACCCUUCUGACGUACAGUCCAAAGUUCAAAGCACGGGAGCUGCAAACAAUUAUUUCACCACCGUUUUACACUUAAGCCAUAUAUAUCCUUCGUACAAAGACCAGGCGGAUUACACAUAAAGAGGUCCAAACUAGCAAGCUUCUCAACAUGCGACUAGUAAACCUGAAGCAAGAUCGAAAUAAUAAUCAAGAAGCCAAGCAGUUUCAAUGUCUAUUUUGUUUUGUCUAAAUACAUGUAGAACGUGGUAAACUAAAACUUCAACUAUAAUCUUUUAAGAAAACACCGUUGACCUAAAAAGGAAGACAUCUAACAUUAUUUUAUAAAAAAUAAACUAGUGAACAAAGAUAUUGCAAUAAGAAAGACAUUACGAAUACAUUAGCUGGUGUCUUGUAUCGUAUGAAGUCAUAGAGUGCAAAUAGUCGUACGCGAAGCAGUUCCCCGAUACAAAGUAUGUUUAAAAAUGACAAAUUCCAGCCUACUAUCUUUCUCUCUUCCCGUAGUUAUCUCUAUGAAUCCUGAAAUUGUAACCUUUUAAUUAAAAUAUUAACUUCAUGUAUAAGUUUUGAAAUUGACAGCACGAUAUCGAUAAGUUUUUAUUAACAAUAUAAGAUAUCGAUCACGUUUGGAUGCUCCCCCCCCACACACAGUUAGAAUUUCUAGUUCCACCAUUGCUUGGGUGAUACCAUAUGAUCUUUCCUAGAAGGUUCUAGAAAGGUAGUUUACCUGGGGUAUAUGCACUUCUCGGUGGGAGGACACUAGCUAGUACCGAAGUAAGCAGUUUCAUAAUUUUUUUGGUGGCAUGCCUGAAUUUCAUUCUGCUCCAGAAAUUAUUCACCAGGGCAGUGUCUUCAAGCAAGGCGCUGAAAAAAUAGGUUUAAGAACUAUUUGAUGGAAACACUUGCGGAGCAGCAGCAGUCCGGGCUAGUAUUGAUGAACCAGCCACCGGUGGGCCACCCACAUCAUAUGGUGAUGAUGACGCCUCCUUCAAAAAAGAUGAUGCCAAUGUGCAUGCCGGUACUGGACAAAGCGAAUACAACAGUUGGUCAGAGUAGUGUUGGCACUACGAUAGCACAACCAUUUCCAUAGGUUCUGUAUCCAUUAAUACUCCAUGCUCAUUGCACAUUCUGGUCAGCAGAGUUGGAGAGACGAUAUAGGUUGCCCAGGGCAUUGCCAAUCCGGUUGGUGGUUUGUUUGAUGGAAAACCUAUCCCACCCCUGUAUGCAUGUGUACGAGUGCUUGAUAUCAAUCCAAACUAUGAUGAUCACGAGAUAGAUAUCCCCACUACAGAGGGGAUCUAUUGCCUUGGACAAUGAGUCAGUAGUACCAUACUGUUGGAUAAACGAGAGAUACUACUGAUUGGUCCACAACCUUCGAUUCUUGAUGAUCCUGCCUCGCUCAAAACUUCCUCAUGUAUGAAAUCCAGACUGGGACACGUUCUUGUUGAGCAUUCACUAGUGGAAUGGACUUUGGCACCAAAACAACUAGUUCAUGGGAUAAGCAUAUCCUGCAACAUCAGCGAUCUACGCCUCUCAAACUAAGCAAUCCCAUUCACCGAACCUUCUCUUGCACCUCCUCUCUAUCCCGUCUACCCAUCCUCCUCCUUUAUACUAUCCCUGCCCGUCAUCCAUUCCUACUUUACCUUCUCUCUCCCCCAACCUUCUUCGACCCAAGUGGCUUCGGCUCGGUGUUGAUCUCAAACGAAUUUGAUACCGAACAGAUUUAAGUGUGGCUGAGGCUAGAUGUUGACAAGGGUUCUGAACCCAUAACUUGGUUGCCCGAGGUUAAGUCUGAUGCCUCAAAAUCGGAGGCUAAAGGUUGUCACGGGUUCCGAACCCAUAACUCGGUUGCCCAAGGUUAAGUCUGAUGCCUUGAAAUCGGAGCUCGAAGCUGCUAGGGCUUUAGCCGGGCUGAAAUUAAAAAACCCUGGCAAGAAAACUUGAGUGAGAAUAGUCGAUGGAAUAGUCGAUGCUCUGGAGGAUGAUGACGAUGAAGUCGGUUUCUUGGAUGACAACUUGUCCCUGGUUUCACCUCUGCACGGUUUGCUUGAGGAUAAGGCUCACGAUGUUUCCGCUGAGAGGAUUCGCAAUCCAAGAAUGUUGAAGAAACAUCGGGUGCUAUUGGUACUGUCCUUCCUAUUAUACAAGUUGUGAAGGAAAUUACGGAGCGCGCGGUUUCUGCCCACUCAGAAAGGUAAUCUUGAUAAUACAAGUCUGGCUGGUCUUAGUUUCGUGGAUGUUAGCGGGGCUUCUUCUAAAUUUUUGAUGGACUUGCGAAGCACAAUUGGCAAAGUCGGAGAGCCGUAUCAUGAACCCUCAUAUCUUUUGCAUGUAGAUCCUUUGCCCGACGGUCCUGAUCCACCUCAGGUUUUGCUGGACUACAACAAGGAUUUUGGUACAAAUAUCAAGGAGAAGUUGCUGGCUAUCCACAUUCCUGGAGCAGGUGAAGACAAUGAUCCUUUCAAUCCUCCAUUACUAUGGAGAUCGCAUGACUCACUUUGACCUGUAGGUGAAAUGGCGGGGACUGUUCUGGGUGAUAAGUUUGAGGGUGAUGCUUCCUCCGAGGCUCUUGAAGAAGGCAAGCUUGCCAAAGAAGAAGAGAAAAAUCCUCAAGUUCCUGAAGCUUCGAGAGGCUUCUAUUCAGAGUGAUACCCAAGGAAGUUUCUUUGAUCCUGAGGCUUUGUACUUUUUAUAAUAUCUUUUGUCUUUGUUGGUUUUUGAUGCCUUUGGUUGCUUAUAGAAUGCCCUUAUUUUGACAGAAUAUGAGAAGUCUUUGCGUUGCUAGGACCUUGAUCACUUGGUGAGGAUAACAACUACCCUCGGUCAUAAGGUAUUGCCUUUCCUGACUUACUGUUAAGAUUUUUACUAUUUGGUAUUUGUACGAUUUUUCUCAGUUUUACUUGUUUUUCAUUUUUAGGCUGUAAUUGCUGGCAAAGUGGCCAUUGAUAGGCUUCAAGAGAAGGAGAGGGCAGCACUCAGCAGCAGCGCUAGGGUUCUUGAGCUUGAGACUGAGGUUGCGAGGCUUAAAAAGGAGAACUCGGCUUUAGAUGAUCUCAAAGCCUCGCUUUCUGAGGAGAAUAUUGAAUUGAAAAAGAACAAGGAUCUUUUUGUGAAAACAUGCAGUGACCUCGUUCAGGAAGUGGAGACCUUUGAAAAGAAUUCUGAAGAUAGCCUCGGAGUUUUGGAAAAACUGCAUAGUGCCAUUGAGAAAGAUUCGACAACAAAUGCAGCUUUGAAGAAACAAAAUGAGGCACUUGCCAAAGCUUGCGCUAAGAAAGAUAUUAUGAUUCAUACCUUGGGAAAAAACCUCAAGGAUCAGAAAGGUUUCAUCGAUGGUGCGGAGCAAGUGCUGAAGGCCCGUUUCUCACAUAUUCAUGAUGGGUAUAAGCUUGCACUGGCAGAGUUUGGUGCAGAACCCCUUCCUUUCUCUACUGAUAAGGGAGCCAAGGAAAUGUUUGAUUUGAUGGAUCAAUAAUUUGAGUCCUUGCCCUUAGUUACUGUGGGAGCUAGUGAUUAAGCAGCCACCUUGUGUUGUGAGGGUAUGCCAAAGCUGCUCGAUGUGGAAAAUUGCUCAGAAUUUCGGAAAUUUGGUGCGCACGGUUACAAGUUUCCUUCUGCUUUAUAAUUCGAUGCACAGGAGACGUCGAAAAAUGUUAAGAUUGUGAAGAAGAAUUUCUUGAAGGAAUUUUAGAAGGCUUCUGGUCAUGACUUUGCGAAGCUUGUUGCUCGUGGUCGUCUUUUGGAGGUUCGACUUUUCCUUUUGUCCAUUCUGAUUAAGACUGCUUUUCUUUUAUCUUAUUUAGGUUGUUUGUGAUAGGCUAAAGAAGCUGAUGUGAAGGAUAAGAACCAGGUUGGAGACUCGGAGGAACAGGAGGUGUAGACCCUAGACUAGGUUUAAUUGGAAACUUAAUCUUUUGAUGCAUAGCUUAGGGUCGAGAACUAAAACAAUUGUUGGUUGUAAUUUAACCUGCACAGGUCCUAGGUGAUGGGCCUGCGCUGGACAUACUUCCUCUUCGAUUUUAUUGUGGAAACAUUGUUGCCAGUGGUCAUGCUUGGCGUCUCUUUCGUACUUUUCAUCCCGACGCUAGUUUUCAUGAUUUCUGGUGCUUUUGCUGUGAAUACUUUUCCGUGCAAAGCUUUAUGCUGGGUCGCUAUUUUGAGUCCCGCGAUGGUUAUGCACUUGGUACGAUGGAAGAAAAAAUAUUUGAAGCUUCGAGGGUGAAGACGGAGCCCCUUAGCCUAUGUGUGUGAUGCUGCAGAGUUUCGAGGUUCGAAACCUGGUCAUGUAAUCGAAUUGUCAUUCUGACUUGUAACGAAACUCAUUGGAAAAAUGUCACCCCCCCCCCUUGUUCCUUUUUGCGGAGAUUUUUGUUGCAAGAUGUUAUUCCGAGAAAUAUAUUGUGUUAUUUUUUAAAGGGUUUUCUGUCUAAGUGUCAUAACUCGAGAUGACAAGGGAUAUUUGAUUUUAGUGAGAAACGUCACCCCCCCCCCUUCCGUUCCUUUUGGCGAGGGUUAUGCUGUUUGCGGUAUUUGGUCGAUGACGGAGGUAUCCUCGAAGCUUUCUAUCUUUCACAUUUUUCCGUGUGGUAGUUAUUGAUUUUUGAAAACAGGUCCGGAGGUGUUUAACUUUCAUGUGGGAUUUUUAUACACCAGUUUUCUUGUAAUAAGUCAGCAAAAACUUGCUCCGAGUUUUGCGGACUUAGAAAGUUAAAUGACAAGUCGGGUCGAAUUCACAACUCUUGGUUGCUUCGACCAUAGAGCUGUAGAUCCUAUGAGGUUAGAUAGAAUUUUAGACGAGUAUGGUAAUGGCAAAAGCGAGGCUUUGCUUGCGCAGAAAUGCAAGAUUCGGGGUACUCUUGGAAGCAAAGUUGGUGCUGCAACUUAUUGUUGCUUUUGUCCAACGCUUGCGUGGAAAUGCAAGUUUUUUCUCACACAAAAAUGCGAGGUUUCGCUUGCACAGAAAUGCAAGGUUCACAUUAUUCAAAAAGUAAAGUUGGUGCUGCAACUUGUUGUUGCUUUCAUCCAACACUUGCGCAGAAACGCAAGUUUUUUUCUCGCACAAAAAUGCGAGAUUUCACCACAACUUGUUGUUACUUUGGCCUCGGCAUGCACAGAAAUGCAAUGCUUUCUACUUGCACAGAAAUGCAAUGUAGUAGCCCUUUCGAGGCUUAGUAAACACGAGAUUCGGGGGAAUUGUACUGCAUUCAAAUGCAAAGGUUUACAUGGAUCGCCUUGUUAAAAACCUUGCCUCCAUUGUGGAACCCCUAGAUAGGAAAAGUGUAUGUUCCAUUUGUAGCAAAGUAAAUGCAGGAAAGUAAAUUUUCUACCCUCAAUGUUGUUUACAGGCUUACAGGCUGCGGGUUUUUACUAUUUUGGUGACUAUGGGUAGUAUUUGCGCAAGUUAUCCACAUUCCAAGAAUGUGGUAACUCUGCUUCUAGCUGAUCUGCAAGGUAAAAGGAUCCUAGCCUGUUGCUUCGAGUGACAAUGUAAGGCCCUUCCCAAGUUUCUUGUAACUUCCCGAGGUUCUCCAUGUUUUUUCUCAUUUUGAUUACCAGGUCUCCUGUCUUGAUCUCUUUCUUCACUAUUUUUGUGUCCCUCCACUUUUUAGUUUCUUGUUGAUUGUUAGCGCAAAAAAUCGAACAGUGGCCCUAACUCCUGCAUCGGACACACGACCCGGGAUAAUCUGCUUAGCUCCUGUUCGGGUUAUCGCCCUGGUGCGGUUUGCGUGACGUGUGUAACACCUUGUGUUAAUGACAGCCUAAAGGUGUCAAUGAGAAGUUAAUGAUGACUUUUGGAGCAAAAAGAGGGUAAUUGACUCAAAGUCAAAUUCGAGCCGAAUUUGACCGAAAUUGCAAUUUGGAAUUUUAAAUUCGGAUAAAUUUAGCAAAAAUAUGAAGUUGAGGCUUGAGGAUGUUUAGAACUCAAAGGAAUGAAGUUGGAGACUAAUCCUAGUCUUAAACUCCUCAAGAAUGCAACUGAAAAAGAAAAUCAAUCAAGUUACUAUUCCCCGUCCGAAAAUAUGCAAUUCAGAAAAACAUAAUGAGUACCUAACUUUGAAAUUAGUUUUUGCCUAAUUUUCCAUGUAAGUGGGCAAAGGUAUCUGAACAUUAGUGAAAUAUGGCCCUUAGACAAGUUUAGUGGGAUGUUGUUGGCCAGAGAAAGUGGAGGGAUCAAAUUUAAAAUGGGACUCAAAAUCAGCACUCAAGCAGUUUUCGGCCUAGCCACUGAAAUGGAUUUUUCCCAAGUCUGAAACAGCAGUGAGUAACCAUGUUUGGAGCAAAUUUCAGGAAAAUAUAGUGCAAAAGGUAUAUGAGUUCACGUGCAAAAUGGAAUCCUUGUUAGUUGUAGAGCAUGAAUGGAUGAAGGUUGAACUAUAUGGAGUAAGUUUGAGCUACUCAAAUCGAGCUAAAAGAAGAGCAAAUGGCCCUGUACAGUGACCUGUCGAACUGAAUGGAGAUGAUUCAGAACAGUUCAGUUCUGCCUGAACUUAGGGCUUAAAAAUCUUGGCCCGAGAGAGUUUAUCUCGGGUAAAGACUAAUGUAUCAAUUGAAGUAAUCGAGUCCCUUUACAAGUUUGCUUAAAGGACUUCCGGGCCAUAGGAUUCGAAAUCAACCGUUUUUGAAGGUUUAAUUUUCAGAGUAAAAGAAGGGGAGGAGGGAAGCGAGCAGAAGAAGAGACGUGUCGCCGCCAGCGCUUUCGCCCGUUGUCCAGCACGAUGCAUAGGGCCACCUCCUCACCCACGCAAGCCUACAGCUAGGCCACGGUGGCACUCAUGCACGCGGUGAAAAAUUUGUAUACUUACUGCUCCCGCCGUCGCUCCUAUCCGUUUACCGCGUUACCUCUUUUACCACCGCAAGCAGAGCACGGCCGAGCUUCUGCCGCCGGGUGAUUCCCACCGUUCCACUGCCUCUGACACCAAUUCCUUUCACCCAAAUCCCCACCAACACCUCGCCAACAAUCGUGCCUACCCGUUUUCCAGUUUCCCCGCCGGCGAGCUCUUAGCCGCCGCCGUUUCCGUCUGCCGCCGCCAACCUCCUGCUCACGGUGAGCUUCUCUUUACCGCCACCUUCUCUCCAUAUAGUAAGUCUUGGGUAAGUCCGUAGGUCGCUAGGGAGCCUUAGGAGGAGUCAAGGGCCGUGUUGGUGCCGUUGCCGUGCUUGGCCACGGCCGGCCGCCGGCCAAGCCGCCCGCCGCCGUGGAGAGGCCAACUCCGGCCGUCUCCCGGGGGGCCGCCGCCACCCACGGGUGCGCCGUGGCUUGGGGUUGCCUCCCUGGCCCGGCCCUGUCGCCGGCGAGGCACCAGCUGUCGAGCCGCGCCGCCCCUGUUGCGCCCUGUUUUUGGCGCGGGGGAGAAGAAGGACCUGGCGCCAGGGACCCACGCGCUAGGGAGAUAAGAGGGGGAAGGGGUGCGCCGGCAGGUAGGUUAAGGGGGGGGAUAGUUGGGCCGGUCCAGCGGGCCAGUGCGUAUGAGAGAGGGUAGAAAGGAGUGGGGUGAGAAAAGUUGGGCCGGGGGUAUUUGGAUAAUCUUAGGUAUUUCCUUUUAUAGAUAAAUAUUUUAAAUUCGGUUUUCACCAUUGAAAUCACUAGAAAUUCUAGAAGUGUCCAAAAUUAGUGAAAAACCAAUUUUGUUAGGAUUAUUUUAUUUUCCUUUAUGCAUUAUAAUUUUUACACCUUAGGAAAAAUAAUAAAAUUUAGGUAUUUGUUUAAUGCUUUUUCAUUAAGGUAUUUAAAUAAAUGCUUAACCUUUAUUAAAUUCAUAAAAUGUUGAAUAAUAUUUUCAUAUUCACAAAUUAUCAUUAACCCAUAGGAAUUAAGUUUUGAGAUUAGAAAAUAUUUAUAAUGAUUUCUAAAAAUAAAAGAAAAGACCUAAGAUAGGAUUAGCAAAAAGAUUAAAAGUGAUGGGUUGACCUUUGUGGGUAGUUAGUGUUGGCUUGCAACUUUAUCAUGAUGAUAGGUUGUAUAGUCACUUGUUGGCUUACAACUUUAUCAUGAAGUAAAGUUGUAUAGUCUUUUAUUCAAAAAUUUGCAUCUCCAACCCCUGCAUGUACUAAAUCGUAGACACCGAAGCUCCAGAAGGGGAAUUCUUGGAUUUAUUUGAAGAACCUUCAGAGUUUGAGGAGAUUGUUGAAUUGAUCCCCUGUGAAGCCGGUCCGUCGGACAAUGCUAACCUUUUUAUAGAUCAAGGCAAGCCCCGGUGCAUCUAUACCUAUCUACUUUGGAGUUAUUAUUUCAUGUGUCCAAUUAUUGGUUAUUUUCCAUAUGAAUGCAUUAAGUCUAGGAGUUGAUUGAAACCUAUUCCUGUGCAUGAUCCUACCUUGUUUAGAGGAUAUCUUUGCCACUUGUUCACUAAUUAGUAAUUAUCCUAUGCUUAGCAAUGCUUAGAGACAUCAAGCAACUUGAUUACUUAGCUCUAAGGUAAAUUUUGGGUCAUACAUAUUACUUAAGGAAAGUAAGAUUGGAAAUUUGAAAAGCCGACAGAAGCUAGAGAUGUUAGUUCUAUCUGCUCGAUUAAAUUGGUUAAGGCCCGAUUGUUGUAUUAACCUUUGAUCAAGUGAGUUUCACCUGGUUGCUUACUGGGUAUGGGACUAGUAAAGCCCAGUAGGUUAGUUGACUCUCUGAUCGGGAAUAUUUCGUACCCAUGCUUGACGUGCUGGAGAAUGGCAGGGGCGUAGCCUGAAACUCACAUGGAGAUCGGGCCAAACAUGGGAUCCCAUGUGGGGGUGCGUCCCUGGGUUCGGGUAGUCAUAUUCCCAAUCUUUGGGUACGCUAAUCGAAAGGUCGUUAUGUACAACCUGAACAGUUGUACAUAGCUGGUGGUCAAGGUGCUCUCCUGCAGGAUGUAAAUUGAUCCGGAUCGCCGCAAUUCUCGGUUAUGAAUGCACUUGAUCACCGUUAAGCAUCGUAGUGUAAUCCAGUGAAUGCAAUGUUUUUUCGAGAUUAAUAUGUUGUAUGACUUAAUUCCUACUGAUUGCAAAAAUGUUUCUUUUUCGCCACCUAGACUUGUCAGGUAACAACUCAAUCUGAAAUAAAAGAUAAAGUUAAGGUUUCACUUAUAGUAAGCUCUUUUAGCAAAAUGUGAGUCAGCCAGUACACUAAACAACUAUCAUUCAGUUUCGGAAAAACUAUUAUAUUGGUUAGUCGGGUUAGUCUUGCUGAGUACCCCGUACUCAGGGGAAUCCUUCGUUGCUAUUUUAGAGCUACAGCAGGAAUUCGCCGAGGAAGAAGCCCCGAAGAACUAGGGUAUUUUUACGAGUCUCACAAUACCCUAGAAAUAAAACUCAGAUGUUUAACUUUCACCUGGACUCGUUUAUGUUUUAAACUCUUAGAACUGCUCUGACCUGCAUUAUUAAGUUUGUUUCAAACUACGGUUUGUAAUAAUUCGCACCUCGAUAUGUAUGUAAAAAUGUAAUAUUUGUUGAUACCUUCCCAUCGUGGAAGCGAUCCUGAUGUAUGGCUAUGGGACACGUUGUGGGUGUUUCGAGGAGUCCUAAGUGCGUUUUGAAUAAUUGUUGUUCCGACAGCAAUUAGACGCACUUAAACCAGCUUAAGUUGGGCGGUUCCACCACAACGUGCCAGUUAAUUUGACCUGUUGAUUGAUAAGGAAGAAAAGAUAUGAAAUCCCAGAGAAUCAAUCGUCUGAAGUUCCGAUCUAUUCCAAAAGAUGUAUCAGCGGAUUGGCCAAUGUAAUGUAAAUAUGACUGGCUAUGAAAUAGUCGAUGAUCACAUGUCAAUUGUAAAAGAAACUAUUGGAGAGACUUAAACAAUGCUACAGAGAAAACACUUGGAACAAAUCUAAUCGGCUGUAUGAUAAGAAACAAAAUAUCGAUAUAGCCGACAGUUCGUGUCUCAAGCUUGAUAACUGAUGAUAAAAACUAAAAUAACAGGUAAAACUUGUAAUUCUAGUGAAUAUCGAUAACUAGUGAAUAAAUCUAAACGAAACAACAGCGAUGCGCCCAAAGUUAAAGCUUAGAUAUUACUCGAUACGCGGAACUUACAAAUUGGCCGGAGGUCAUGUUGAUGCAGCCCUGCCAACUCGCACGAACUCGUGAAAAGAAAAGGGUUUGGCAAAGUUGCCGACUUGAAAGUAAAGUUGCGUGAAAAAGUAGAUUUGUAUUGAUGAUUCUUUGUUCUUUUACAAGCCUCACGAGGCACCUAUUUAUACCAUGCUACAACUGAUUUCCUAAAUGACUACGAUCUUAUCUCUUAUUCAAAAUAACAAAUAUUUACAUACGGAUACAACUCGCAUCGGAGUCAAACACCAAUCAAUUCUCUAUGGGCUAACUCUGUCUUCAUCUCAUUACCGCCUUGGCCCAUUUAGGCCCAUAUCAGCCAAGCUGCUCUGGCUUCCAAUCGGCCAGUCUCCAUUGACCUCAUCGAUUAAUCGGCCAAAACAAUGUAGCUUUAUCAGCCAAUUUCCCUAGCCACAACCCCCUGUUUGACUGUGUCGGCCACUUUCUUCCCUUCUUGACGCCAACCCUAACACAUUUCAAAAACUGGCAUCAACACUGAUAUUUGUCAAGGUUUUCAAUUGCCUAUAACAUGUCGAGCUCAAUCAUGUCUUUCUUGAUUUUUUUUUGUUCUCUAAGGAAGCCUCGAUUUUUGAGUACUCAUAAGCUUUCAUUCUUUAUUUCUAGUGGAGUCAUAGCCUCAGAGCCAUAUAAUAGGUGAAAGGGUGUGAAACCUGUUGUUCUUGAUGUAAUAGUGUUAUGGGACCAAAUGACUUUUGGGAGUUCUUCAAUCCACUUUCUUUGUUCUAGUCGUACAAACAUUUUUUGAUACUCAAGAACAUUUUUUGAAAUCACUAUAAUCGAACUAUUUUCCGUUGUCCACUGUUUGUUCCCUAGGGACCUCGAACCUGCAGAUGAUGUUCUACCAAAAGAAUUUUUGCACCAAGCUUGAGGUUAUGUUUGCCAGUGGCUUAGCCUUGAUGCAUUUGGUAAAGUAGUCAAGCGCUACUACUGCGAAUUUGCAGUUGCCUUGUGCGGUUGGUAAUGGCCCUACUAAGUUCAUUCCCCAUCUUUGUAAUGGUCAGGUUGGUGGUAUGAGUUGUCUGGCAGCGAGGAUGUUUUUUGCUGGUUAGUUGUCUUUUGACAAGCCUCACAAGUUCUUACUAAGCUUCGGGCAUCUAGGAUUGCUGUUGGCCAGAAAAAACCCUAUCUCACGGCUAUAUCUAAUAGGGCUCUGGUUCCGAUAUGAGAACUACAAAACCCAUUAUGGACUUCUUCUAACAAUUCUUUCCCACUCUCCGAAGUUAUAAAGCGUAGCCAAGGAGCUGAGAUCCUAGAUUUGUACAGCUCACUGUCGACCAUGGCGUAGACCCUAGCCCUUUGCUUCAUUCUAUUUAGUUCAGCCUCAUUGUGAGUCUCGUAGUGUCCUCUGAGGUAGGACAUGGUUGGAGCCCUCCAAUUGAAUCUGGUGAUUGCAUUUACGACUCUCCGAGCUAGCUCUCUAGUUGAUGGGGAGUGUAUGACCUCAUAGAAUAGAUCAGGUGGCAUGGUUUGAUUUUCCGCAGCUACUUUUGCCAAUUUGUUUGCGUCAUCAUUUUCUACCCUUGGGAUGUGCUGAACGGUGAACCCUUUGAAAUAUUUUUCCAUGGCUCUUACUGCGGCUAAGUACUUCAUAAGCUCUAGCUCUCUAGCCUUGCUUUCUUUUUUGAUGUGCUCUUGAAUGACUUAGGAAUAUUAUUUUACUAUGAAUACUUGCUGGCCCAAUGCCCUCAUUUUCCUUAGCCCCAGAAGCAGUGCUUCAUAUUCUGUUGUGUUGUUAGUGGACCUUGCCUUGCCCUUGAAAUCAAGCCUCGCGGCAUAUCUGGUUUUACACCCGAGGGUGACGUGAUAAUUGUUGACACUCCUACCCCUUGUCACACCAAGCCCCGUCGCAAUGUAUGACCAAUGGAACCUCAAUCUCAUCAGUUUCAUUGUUGCAUGGUGAUGUCCAGUCGACUAUGAAAUCAGCUAGGACUUGUGAUUUGAUUGCACUUCUUCUCUCGAAGUCCACCAGGUUUUCGAAUAAUUCUGAUGCCCAUUUUAUGAUUCUCCCCGAGGCUUCUCUGUUUGUGAGAAGAUCAUGAAGCGGCUGGUUGGUGACCACCACUAUCCUGUGACCCUCAAAGUAAUGCCUUAGCUUGUGCACUACCAUGAUUACAGCAUAAGCGAUUUUUUCUAGCUCGGAGUAGAACAGUUUUGACCCCGAUAAUGCUUCUAAGGCAAAGUAUAUUGGAGUUUGUCUUGGUUUGCCCUUGAUUUUGUUUUCUUGCACUAAGGUAGCACUGACUGCAGAGCUUGAGGCUGACAAGUAUAACAACAAGGGAGAUUUUGGUUUGGGUGGGAAUAGUUUCGUCAUGCUUGUCAGAUAAUCUCUUAGUUCUGCAAAAGCUUUGCUUUGCUGCUCUCCCCAUUAAAACUUUUUGGAGUUUCACAAUACUUGGAAGAAAGGUAGACUUCUUUCGGCUGCUCCCUUGAUGAAUCUGUUAAGGGCUACUAUUCUCCCUGUCAGCUUUUCCACAUCUUUCACUAAAAUAGACUCUUUCAUGUCGACCAGAUCUUGGAUUUUGUCUGGAUUAGUCUCGAUGCCCUUGGUUGAGACCAAGCAUCCUAGCAUCUUGCCUUGAUGAAUUCCGAAUACGCAUUUUUCUGCAUUCAGCUUCAGGUUUGUUGUCCUCAAGUUGGCGAAAGUUUUUGCGAGGUCAUGAAUGUGAUCUUUUCAUUUGACACUUUUCACCACGAUAUCAUCCAUAUAGGCUAGGAUGUUCCUUCGAAGCUAUGUACUUAGGACUAUUGCUAUCAUUAUUGAGAAAGUUGACCUUGCAUUGUUGAGCCCCUCAGGCAUUCUGAUGAAACAGUAGGUCUCGAAUGGAGUGAUGAAACUCGUCUUCUCCUCAUCUUCUUUUUUCAUUCGUACUUGAUGGUAACCUAAAAACAUAUCUAGUAGUGAUAAAAUUUCGCUAUUUGCAGCGACAUCUACCACCUUGUCAAUCCUUUCUAAUGGAAAGUCAUCUUUUGGGCAUGCCUUGUUGAGGUCGGUGAAAUCUAUGCACAUUCUCCAUUUCCCAUGUUUCUUCUUGACCAGAACUGUGUUUUCCAACCAUUCAGGAUACAUAACUGCAUGUAUUAUGUUGGCAUCGGCUAGCCUUUGGUCUCACACCUUUGUUUAUUUCUAACUUGGGCUCUAUUAUAUCUCUGUCUACUCCUUGUAGGUCACAUGAAGACCAUGUGAAGUCAUCCUUGCUCUUGUUUAGGAACUCGAUCAGUUUCUUUUCUUCAUCGAGCUUGAGUUCAGCAUUGAUGAUUAUAGCUCUAUCGAGGACAUGUUCGUCUAGCAGUACUCUUUUUGUUUUGCCAUCUGCACUCAUUUUUACUUUUUCUUUAUCUCUUUUUGGCUUGACAUAUGGUUUUUUCAUCUCCGAGGGUUCAACCUCGCUUGAACUUGCUACGUGGUGUACAUUUUUCAAACCUCGGGUUGCACCUUUUUCAACAUCCGUGGCUAUUUGCUAGUCGUCAUAUAUUGUGAUAACUGCUUCAGAGCUGGGAUCUUCAUACAUAAGAACAACUGCCUUAUUGCAGCAUCGAACUUGUUGAUGAAUCCCCUUCCAAAGAUAGCAAAUUAUGGAUAGUACAUUUCCACAAUGUUGAACAUUAUGUAUUCCGUUAUGGCAUUGUCUAGGUUUCCAAAUGAUACCAGUAAUGUGAUUUUCCCCAAGGCUCACUCUGGCUUUCCACCGAAACCAAGUAAUGGUUUUUCUACUGGCUGUAGUAGGUGAGGAUCAAUUUUCAUUUCUCUGAACGUUGCUGAGCUUCCAUUGUCAACUAGUGCUUUCUCUAUUGUCCAUCCUACAACAAUAGCCUCGAUUACCAUUGCAUCAUUAUGCGAGGAUUUUUUGAGUUUGAAGUCUUCUUUAGUGAAUGAGAUUGGCAUGUGUGCCCAUUCUAGCUUGGUUGGUGGCCCAUCACGGAUGAUCGAAUGGAUUUGUCUGAAGUAAUUUUUCCUUUGCUUCUGUUUCUCAAAUUCUAGCGAAGAUCCACUUGCUAUUGGCAUGGUCAUGCCGUAGGUGGGCAAAAUGUUCGACUUGGUGUUUUGGGCAUUUUUGAACUCGUGCGAGGAGCCCCCCGAUAUUGGCAUGAUCAUGUCGUAGGUGGGUAGGGCUUUGGGAUCGUUGUUUUGGCCAAUCUUUGGUUCAACCUUAUGUAUUUGAUUUGGUAGGUUUGGCAGAGGUAGUGGUAGUUCUUGCAGAGGUUGAGGUGGUGGGAAUCUUGUAGUUUGCAUAGCUAGCUGACUUUGAGAUUGAAACUACCGCAAUGGUUGCCACAUCAUGGUGGGUUGGUAAUUGAAUGAAGUGUUCGUUAAUGAACUUGGGAGGGUAGAUGUAUGAAUGGUGUUGGGAUUUAUUUGUGGGUAAACUUGGCAGUAUGGUUGUUGUGGUCAGAAAGAAGUGUGAGGAAUGGUUUUUGGCACUGCUGCGGCAGCUGCGGCUGCUCUUUUUUCCUCUGCUAUCCUUUCGAAGGUCUUUUUUUGUUUCUGGACAGAAAUUGGUUGCAUGGUCUCGUUAUUCGCCGUGAAAUGUGCAAUAGGACAUUCGAGGCUGGUUGUUUUGAUUGUGUGGCCUAGGAGGUCCUCUGCCUCGGCCCCUUCUCCUGCCUGAGUGGCCUCCUCUCUACCCAUUGCCAUGAUUUGUCUGUUGUUGUGGUGGUUGCCCAUUCCGAUUUUGGCUUUGUUGUUUUGAGGGUUGAUUACCCUCGAUCGGUAGCACAUGUUGAGCUGUAUAUGGCUGUUGAUGUUGUGUGAAAUUGUAUUUUAGGGCUAGCCAAUUCUGAUCUUUCUAGGUUGGCCUUUGGUGAUUCCUCUCCAUUACUCUUUUCCUGUGGUCCUCGUCUGACCUGCAGUAUUUUCCAACUUGACGAACAGAGCUUCCAUGGUUUUGGAUUUUUCUCUUGUUAGGUGCGAAGCUGUCGGGGCUAGUGUUAGCCCUUUGAUGCAAGUUGAUAUGGCUACGGUUUCAUGCACAUCUAAGGUUUAUAUCUUCAAUUGUACAAAUCUUUUGACAUAAUUGGCUAGAGGUGCUUUAUCUCUCUGGACACAAUGGAACAAGUCAUCCGAGUCUGUUGUUGCACGAUGGAAACCUUGGAAGUCUUGUAUCAGCUUUGUUUUGAGAUCAAUCCUGCUAUAUACUAACUGUAGUGGGAGUAAUGAGUACAAGUUCAGCGCAGCACUCUCGCAGGCUAUGAUUAGGGACUUGGCUAAGACUACGUCAUCUCCUCCAACUGAUGCUACUGCAGCCUCAUAGCUCAUGAGGAUUUGACGAGGGUCAUUUUGCCCAUUGAACUUUGGCAGUGAGACUGUCUUGUAGUUUUGAGGCCAUAGAGCUGUUUGUUUUAGGCCUAUAGAUAAUGGAGAGCUUUGGUCCAUUGCUAUGUAGGGACUUUUCAUCACUAGCACGUUGUGUUCAGCAAGGUUUGGAUCCAUUUGCGGAAUGUUUUCUGUGUUCAUGACAUGUUACUGUCUCGAAGGUGGUGGUUGUUGUGGUGGUGGCGUGUUUCGUUAAUAUUGCAACUCAUCCAACUCUUCUUGCAAUUCUGCUAGAUGUUGUUUUACUUGAUUUAGUUUUGAUAUUUUUCAGCUUGCUAGACGUUGGGCUUCUAGUUCAUGAGCAAACUUCUAUUUUUCUUGUUUUAGAGCUUCGAGUUGCCUUAGCACCAAGGCCAACUCCUUUUCUGUUGCACCAACUUGAUCGUUUCUUGUGCUUGACUAGGGUUAUGCUAGAUUUGCUACUUCUGCCUCGACUCUUUUUUUUACUUCUUGUUCAUAAGUUAGCCUCGACUCUGUUUAACUUCUCUAUAGUAUCUAUGUUAUUUGAUCAACAAGGAUAAUUCUUCUCUCUUGAGCCACAUGAUUCUCUCUUUCACCCUCGGUGGCUCCCUAUGGUGUGGUCUUCUUUUUCUUCAUUUGUCGAAUCGUGGGUUGUUUUACGGCUAAAACCACGGUGGGUGCCCUGUUGGUCUUAAACGAAUUUGAUACCGAACAGAUUUAGGAUUACAAAAAGAACAAUGUACACUUCUCAAUUGGAAAAACCGUUCUCCCCUUUUAUUGUGACUCAUGGCCUACUUUGUAUUCCAUAAGUACCCUCGUUCAACCACUAUAUUCUUAGGAUAUACCGUACAUAAAGGUCAUUUGGGAACAUGUGUACAAAUUGAACUUCUCCACGUGUUCACAUUUCUCACGUCUUCCGCCUGUUAACCUUGAGACUUCAAUCCUGAGCUAGUCAUAUAGCCUUUAGGCUUCAUUCGCAUCCUAAGCUGGGCACGUAGCCUCGAGGCUUCAGCUUCUCAGAGUCAUGACAAAAGGUCUUAACCUUGAGAAAUUCCUCCUCGAGCAUCAUUCCUGAGUAAAGAGUAAAAAGAUGAAAGCUCGGUAUCUAGAACCAACUACGAACACUCGAGGGUUAAUCCAAUGGAAGUUAGUCAUUAUUGUUGUCGAUCGCUACACUCGAGUCCUUUCAGGGGUAGAAGCAACGCGAGGAUACGAGAUUUACUUCGAGGUGCCUCGCACAGAACAUGCAAGGUCAAAGGGGCUUCAUUUUCCUUGCUACCGGUGCAUAACUUGCGAGGUUAGGUUAGAAUCUCCUGCCGACGUUUGAGGGUUACUGACUUUUUAAAGAUCCCAACACUCAGGCUUCUUCUUUAUACUAUAUAUAUCCCUACCUAUCCUUCUUUAUAAUAUCCCCGCGUGCAGGGAGACACGCGCAGCCUUCUCCUUUAUACUAUCCCUGCCCAUCCUCCAUAUAUUCUUACUGUACCUUCUCUCUCCCCACGUGGCUGCAACCCGGCCUUCGGCGCUAGGUCCCUCCUCGGCGGCGUUUGGCCUGUGCGUGCAGUGUGCGUGGGCCCACAAUGCUGGAGGACAUUGCGGCCCAGCUUUUUUAUUUUUUAAUCAGUUUUCAGUGCAGGGUGACAAGGUAUCCCGCCUCUGCAACUGUAUUUAUUAGGCCGGACUGAGUCCUGCCCCUACAGAUGCCUUAUAAAUGCAAUUUUACCUGGUGGUAAAAACGUUUUUUUAUGUAGUGGUGGCGCUCUCGAGUCUCCACAAAUGCAAUGAACAUGCUGCGCCUCCCCUCAAUCCGACAGAUAUAUUGGUGUUGUUACAAAUCCUAUUUUUGUGACCAAAAGUUGCAAACGUUCAAGCACAUUUUAGUUAUUUUAUUUUACUCUCUUAGUGUCAUUUUUUAGUUGUUAGGCAUCUGAGUGGCACAUCGUAAGCUUGUCCCGGUUGCCCAGCUCAUAAGCAAUUGAUGCCUGACAGUGACUGUCGUUGUUUGACCUGUCUCCACUGCUCGCUUCUGAAUUACUGGGCCAUGUCCAAUGGCAGUCUUGCAGCUGAUGAGGUGAGGCAGCAAUCUUUUUGAGGACCUGUAUGAGCCAGCUGAGCCACUGCUGCACAUCAUAGCCUGUACGUCUGCCGUCCUGGUGCGCGUGAACCACGAGGGCAGGCCCAGUGGACGCUCAGGCGUCGUGCAUUAUGUCCGACUAGCUAUGGACAAAGGUCAAGUAAAUAUAUUAUUUUAUUUUUAACAUGGCAAAUAUUAGACAUUUCAUGUUUUUUUGUGCUACCAAAAAGUUUCAAGCAAGGGCACACAGCUCACCUGGAAUCCUAACUUCACCCCUUAGGCCCUAAUUUCACUUUCCCUCUCACAUCUCUCCCUUUUCAGUCUCUUUGUGUUAAUUUUUAUAUGAAAAACGUGAGAUUGAACGAACUGUACAUCUCUAGACGUGUGAAUUUAAGAUUUUAGAAUAUUUCAAAAAAUAUAUCAAAAAUAGAUCUUCAAUUAUGUAUAAAAAUAUUAACAAUAUAGUUUCAACAACCAUUCAUAAAUUAAAUAUUAAUAACAUGAAAUCGAUAUGGAUGGUGUCGAGUCCCUGGUGUCCUAUCCCUGUGAAAGACUGAGAAAGGAUGGAGAAAAUAGAGGACGGGAUGCAUAUGGUGAAACCGACAUGUGAUUUUUUUGCCUAUAGCCCGUACAUACUACUCUCACCGUCGAAUGAAAAAGUGCAAUUUUUUCAGAUAGAUUAGUGGUGGUGUGAAAAGGCACCCAUAACCAAAUUCAUUGACCCCAUGCAGUAAGUUUUGGCAUGCAAAUUAAAUAACCACAUGAUUAGGCAGGUAGUUACAUCUAAUUCUUAGGAUUGCACUCUUUUAUGUGAUUUUUUUAAAAUGCUUGAAUGUCACUUUUCAUUGGAUGGAGGGAGUAUAUAUAUGCGCCUCAUGCUGUCACGUGGUGUGUGCCGACUGGAAUAGGUGCCAGGGCUGUUUUGGGCUCGGGCAGGCGUGAAAGCCCUGGCUGCGUGGAUAUAAUAAUGGAAUGAAUAACUAAAAUUAAAUUAGGCGGUGACAUACAAAAUUUUUUGGUAGAAACGUUGCUCGCUUUAUUAAUAGGAAGGAAAAGAGGUGAGGUGCCUUGCUUCCUCAGCUUCCACAUCUUACCUAUGUAAAAACAUUCAAAAGAGUAGGCCGGUAGAUUUUAAGAUUGAUAAAGUAGACAUAGAUUUAAUUUCGUCUACAUUUAGUACUCCAUGCAUGUAUCGUAAGUUUGAUGUGAUGGAGAAUCUUCUUUUUGCAUAGUGUCAAAGUUGGGAGUUGGGGGAUAACUAAACAUGGCCUGAGUCCACAUGCAAUGCAAGACCAGUGAUGUACACGUUUUGAGCUAGCAACAAUGGCCUUUGUACACGUUUUGUCUGUGGCGGGAUGUAGGGCGCCCGUGUGUGAGCACACGCAAAUGCCUCCCCUUGGAUCCGACUAGUAGAUUUGUGUACUGACCACUGAUGGCAUAUCAUAGCUUGUCUGCUUGCCACAUCAUAGCGCGUGAACCACGAGGGCAGGACCAGUGACCUGGCCAGGUAAGGUGGGCGCUCAGACAUCGUGCAUUAAAUAUUAGGUGACGACUCUCUGCUUUAUUCCUAUUCGAGUGAAUUUUCAAAGAGAUCAUUUGAGUCCUUCAACUUUUAAAGUAGUUCAUUUCACGUGUAAAUUGAGGUCCGUGGUUGGACCUCGAGUAAACUUAGAAUAAACCAGGACCCGGAUGAGAAUGCUGGAAUUAAUAGUUUCCAUACACUGCACAAGACCUUUAUGAACUCUUGAUUGCUUUUUGAAACACCCAAUGCACGAUCAUUAUUAACAAUGAGAUAUUUGUUAGUUCCGGUGCUAACAAGUAGGCCUAACCAUGAUACAGGCCCAAGCAGGAGAUAAAAGGAAUAAGAAAAAUAGAAGAAAUGGGUAUUUCCUACUGACAUAAAUUCAGAUAGCUGAUGCAAAAGAUAUGUUAACCCUGAAUAAAUCCAGGAACAAUGAUAAGAAAUUAUGCUAAGCAACCAAAAGUUAUAUGCAGCAGCAUGAAUGUAACAUACAAAAAUAUAACAUAUGAUUCUUUAAAUUUAAUUUAGAAAACAAUUAUUUUACUCCACUAAAUAUCUUGAUAAUACUAUAAUUUUUCUAGAAUUAAAUAAAAAUAGAAAAUAUUGCAUUAAUUUACCGUUAUCAUUCACAUUCCAAAAUAAUAAAUUUUGGGAUGUGACACUAACACAUCUGACGUUGCUGCAAAUUAUGAUAAUGAUGCACCAUGUCAUACAUUGCUUUGCAGAGAUACUUUCUUUUGACGUGGUCCUAUAUAUGUCUUGCCAUUUGCUUCGGCUGUCACCAACCUUGUUUAGGAAUGGAAUGAUGAUAUGGAGUUUAGAGGGCGACUGCAAUUCAAGAAAGGGAGAACGAUGAGAACACCAAGCUACGCAUGAUCCUGCGUCAGUGUAUACCGUCGGUGCUUGCCGUUAUUUUGCCAUUGUAAAAGUGAACCGUGGGCGCUUGUGUUACAAAGCCUAUUUGGCAGGGAGCAAAAGUUGCAAACAGUCAAGUACACGUCAUUUAUUUUCUUUUACAUUCUUAGUGUCUUUUUCUAUGGUGAGGCAUCUUAAUGGCUAUAGUGAACGAGGCCCAUUAGGUCAUAGUUUAUAAUUUCGGUGAUUGAGUGACAACAUAGUCAAGGAACUAAUAGUUUGUCAAGCAUGUGUCUUGUAGGUUUAUUAGGUCCCAAGUGUGCAAACCAAACAAUAGCAAGGUUCAAAUCAUGUUAUUCAAGUAUCCAAGCUAUGGUAUUCAAGUGACCAAGCCAUGGUAUCUAGAAUUAUUCUAUGGUAUUCAAGUAUCCAAAUGACAAAUAAAAUCCAGAGAUAGAAUAAUUCUAUAGCAUCCAAGUGACGGUAUCUUCGUUGUGCACAUGGUGAUAUUUAACUCAGAAAAUUCAAUACCAUCAGAUGUUCCGAUGGUCCACCGUAGCAACCAUCGGAGCAAUUGGUACAACUAAAAAUUCAACUUGAGUGGCAGCAAGCACUAGAUGAUCCGACAGUCUAUAUUUUACAUGCGUGGGAGCAAAUCAUAGAGAAGACGAAGACAACCCUAUGGCACCAGAUGAUCCGAUGGUCAGAAGUUGGAAGCAUCGGACGAAGCAUAUUUACUUUGCGAAGUUCUAGAGAGGUCUCGUGUGAAACUCCUUUAGCACCGAAUGUUCCGCCGGUUCUAUCGGAUGAAGUGUCAGAUGAAUUUUGAUGUGUCAGUGAAGAACUUGGGUGCGGGAAAGCCAACAACUAGUUGCACCGGAUGUUCCAAUGUAUGCCAAAAACAUACCAUCGAAACAUCCGAUAGUACACUUUAACUAGUCGUUGGAGCAACAUCUCUUUGAUAUCCUGGGCUAUUUAUACCCCAUCCAUUCACCCAAUUGAAGUUGCUGGAGUGUACAAGAGUCGAUUGGAGUGCAAGACACAUCAAGAACACAUCCAUGCAACCAAAGUGCUAAAGUGAUCAUCGAAAGGCAAUCGGCACAUGCUUAGAGAGUGAUUAGUUUAAGGAUAGGCCUAGAGAGAGUGAGUGCAAGGUGUUGCUACCUUGUGAUUGUAACACCCAAAUUUUUAGAGAAUUCAAAUUCAUUAAAAUUUGCUCAAAUUAGGAUGUCAUUUAAAUUCUAGGCAUUUAAUUUCACUUUCUUUAAAUUUAAUUAAUUCAUCAUAGGAGUUUAUUGUGCAUUCAUGCUGGUGCAUUUAUUUUGAUUGCUUGGGUUUGAAUCAAAAUUUGAAUUCCAAAUUUAAAUUCAUUUUUCAAAACCUUUUCCUUUUCCUUUUUCUUUUUCUUUUUCUUCUUCUCCUCCUGGGCCGCAUCCUUCUCUCCUUCCCUUUCUUCUUUUCUUUCGGCCCAGCCGAGCUGCAGCUUCUCCGGCCUGCUCCACCCUACCGCCGACCCCCUCCGCUUUCUCUUUUGCCGGCCCGCGAAGCUCUUCGCCGGCCCAGCUCCCUUCUCCCGCGCGGCUCGCCACUCGCCCGCUUCCUUUUUCCUCCGCGGCCCGUGAAACCGUGCCGGCCCACGAAGCUGCGCCAGCCCGCCUACCGCCCGCGGCCGCCGACAUGUGGGUCCCACCGUCGUCUCCCACCUCCGGCCGGACUCUCCUCCGCCGGCAACCGCCACGCGAGAUCUCCGCACGGGCGCCGCCUUCCCCGACCGAUUUGAACCGGGGCCGCCUCUAUCUCCAAGCGCGCCGCCUCCGCGGCCUCGAGCACCCGCGCCGCAGCACCUGAAACCCUAGCGCCCAAGCUCCCGCGCCGCCGCCUCUUCUUCGCCGCCAAGCGCCGCCUCCGGUGAGCCUCGGUCGUCAAUGACCGCCAAAACGAGAUCGCCAAGUCCUCCUCUAUCUUCUGGUGUUUUCCGCGCGCGAAACCGAGCCCCGGAGCGCCGUUUCGGCCUACUCCUCUAUCUUCUGGUGCUAAUAUUAUCAGAAGAUGGAUUUAAAUUGUUGUACUCACCCUUGCAAAACCGCUGUUCAGACCAAGCUAAUUUGGAGGAGUAUCUGCACGACUUUGAGGAGUUCUAGGCGUACGGUUCUUCAGUCAGCUGCCUGUGGUGUCGCCGUCGUCUUUGGAGUUCCGCUGCGUAAUAAAUUAGGCUUAUGUUUUAUUGAGACUUUCGGUCAUGUAAUAAUAUUUAAUACUCUCUUUAUUCACUUUAGCACUGUCUUUAUUAUUCACUAUUGUCGUACAUGUGUGUAACUUGAUCCUAGUGCACAUGUAUUUAAUGCACUCAAUUUUGUCCUUAAAAUCAGGUGUGACAAAAGUGGUAUCAGAGCCGUGUUGACUGUAGGACGUUAGCCUAGUUAGAAAAUGGUCGUAUUUAAGGAUUAUAAUAAUCUAGUAGGCAUUCCUACCUUUUCAUAAUUUAAAUCUACUUAAUUAUUCUUAAACUUGAUUUGUCUCAUCCUUGUUGCUAUUUUAAUCUUUUAUUUUAUUACCAUCUUGGUUCGUUCAAAAUUUUAUUCUAAAAAUUUUCUUCUUUCUUUCUGUUAGAUGGCUCGCACCCGGUUGACAGCACGCAAGAGCACCCGUCCCCCACGUCAUGGCAUCGCAUCGUAUCACCCCAUGGAGCCUAGGGACGAGGAGGAAGAGGAAUGUCUACUACUUCCAGCACCCGGGGGAUGAGACUGAUGAGGACGCCGUGCCCGUGCAGCAGGAGAUAGCACCGUCACCAACACUGACACCAGCACCGGCACCGGCACCGGCACCAGCACCUGCACCAGCCCCAGCGCCUGUACCUGUCAUCGACUUAUCGGACGAGGAGCCCGAACCAGAUCCCGAGCCCGAGAGAUGGAUCAGGUGGGUGAAGGAAGACUAUGGCCAAGGAGUGCACAUGGCCGACAUGCUGAGGUGGACUUGUCAUCACUUGGGAUACAGCAUAAGACCUAUCUACAAGUGUGCUCGGUUCACCCACCCUCGCUAUCCCACUUUUUGGGAGGUGAAGGUUAUCCUUCGAGAGGAGCAUGAAAGAGGAUGGGAGGUGAUGGUUGUUCACCAUGAUGUGGCGAUGAGGAGGACCAUGAAGUCCGGCAUUGCCGAGGCAGCUAGGAGCGCACUUGAGGUCCUUUCUCACAGGGAACGGCCACGGCUACAGUACACAUAUCGUCGGUUCCUUCCGUCCAGGGCUAGUGGAGAAGCAAGAACUUUCAUAGCUACUCAUGAUGGAGUUGACAUGGCCACGGACUAUCUUCGCAAGUACUUGUCGGCAACUCUCACCGCUUUGAAUGAAACAAACAACCACCUCUUUGAGACUCAACGGGAGCUUCAUGAAGUUAGGUGGGAGAGAGAUGUGCUAGUGGCUUCCGCGAUAGGGGCACCGCCGCCGCAAGAGGAUGCCAAUUUUCCCGCUUCGUCGCCGUCACCCAAGCAUCCCCGCUACGACUCGCCCGGUGCCGCCGCAGAAGAUCUCUAGGAGUUAGGAGUGUUUAGCUUAAACUUUUGUAAUCGUUAGUCGUCGCUCGAGUGUGCUUAGAUUAAAGUGUGCUUAGAUGCUUGGUUUUGUGUUACAUGUUUGAGUUGGACCUUUGUAAUGAGUGCGGUAUGUGGGGUAAUUGCCACACGAUACUGGUCUUAGUAAUAAAAGUGCUUGGUUGGGUUUUAGUUCUGUUCUAAAUCAGCUUCUAAUCUUUCUUAAUCAUGAUCUCCCAUCUGUCUAAAUCUAUCUGUCAUGCAAGCUAUGCGAUGUUCAAUUCUGCUCUCGACAUUAAUUGACACGUCAGUACUGUUUUAUUUUUAUCUCGAGAUAUAGAGGUCAAAAUGGCAUGAAACCAGUGGGGUUAGUUUCAGAAUUUGAUGGAGUAUUUUCUGUAAAUGUUUCGGAAUUUUUGAAGGAUCUGUCUGGGAGAUAUAUGCGAAUUAGUAGAGCAAUCAGAAUCUGAAACUAUCAACCGACACUGUCAGCUUGUUAAUUUUGUAACCGGAGGUCUACAAGUCCGAUUGAGGUGAUUCCAGUUGGGUUGGUUUACAAAUUUGAUAAGUUACGAUUUGGUAAUUUCUUAUUAAUUUUGGACACCUUUUGUGAUGGUCACAUCUAAUUUAACGGAGCUAACAGAAUCUAUCUUACUUUUAUAUCUUGUCGCUUUAUCUUUCUCAGUUAUUCCUUCACACACAUAUCUAAAUCUAUUGUCUCUAAUGCUCAGAUGGUAAACACCAGGUCCGGAUCAGGAGUUGACCACCCCGCAGUGCCUCGUCACAGGGACAACAGCAGCAAUCCCAACCCCGCUCCGCAACAGAAUCAACAAGCACCUGCAGGGAUGGAGCAGUUCUUGGCAGCCCAGACUCAGCUUCUCGCCGGACUGACCAACACCGUGGCAGCCUUACAAGCUCAGCUGAACAACAACAACAACAACAACAACCAGCAUCAGCCGCUGCCAAGGGAUAGGCAUAGGGAGUUCAUGAGCCACAAGCCCCCAACGUUUUCACACUCCCUAGACCCACUAGAUGCUGAUGACUGGUUGAAAAGUGUGGAGAAGAUGCUGAACAUUACCCAGUGUUCUGACAGGGAGAAGGUCAUGUAUGCUUCAGGACACUUGGAAGGACCAGCUGCAGAUUGGUGGGAUGCUUACACCACCACCCAUGCCAACACUAAUGGCAUUACUUGGGAGGAAUUUAGGACUAACUUCAGGAGCCACCACAUUCCUUCCGGAUUGAUGAAGCUCGAGAAGAAGGAGUUCCUUGCUCUUAAGCAGGGUAAUAUGUUAGUGACUGAGUACAGGGACAAGUUUGUCCAGUUGUCCCGCUAUGCUCCUGAAGAUGUUGCCGAUGAUGAGCAGAAGCAGGAGUUGUUCUUGGAUGGUUUGAUUGGACCACUCCAAUACUAGCUGAUGUCUCACACCUUCCCUAGUUUUCAGAAGAUGCUGGACAAAGCGAUUGGCCUGGAGCACAAGAAGAAUGAGCUUGGGGAGAUGAGCAGUCAUUCCAGCACCCCGCUCAGCAGUCAUUUCAGUGCUCCAGCCCCCAGCUCCAGCGUCCAGGGAUGCAGACUCCGCGCCCCAACUUUCCGCAGAAUCGCCAGAUGACUCCUGCAGGUGUUCUAGUGAGGCCCAAUGCUCCAGUGGGUAACACUUGCUUCAAGUGUGGUGAAGUUGGCCACUAUGCCAACGCUUGUCCUAAGAGGAGUGUGCCGUCUACCCCCGUGCAGAAUAAUAGCACUCCUCGACAGAAUCUGCAGGCGCAGCAGUCAAGGAACGUGAACCAAACCCCGCAGCGCGCUCAAGGACAGCAGAACUAUGUGCGUGGUAAGCUGAACCACGUGGAUGUUGAUACUGCUCAGGAGGCUCCAGACGUUGUGCUCGGUAUGUUUCUUGUCAACUCAGCACCCGCCUCAGUAUUAUUUGAUUAUGGAGCAUCCCAUUCUUUCAUUACUGCAUAGUACGUAGCUAAGCAUAACAUGCCCAUUAGUACCAUGCCACGCCAUAUGCUAGUCAGUUCACCAGGGGGAAACGUGAAAGCAUUAUAUCGAUGUAACCAAGUGAACCUCAAGAUAAUCAGCAGAGAUUUCCCGGCUAAUCUUAUAGUGUUGGAAUCAAGUGGAAUUGAUGUGAUACUCAGUAUGGGAUGGUAGAGCAAGUUCGACGCAGUGAUACAGUGUGCAAAAAGGUCGGUUCUUCUCACAAGCCCAGCAGGGGAAAGAAUUGAAUUUGUGGCUACUCUACGUUCAGCAGCAGAUUGCACCGUUAAUCAGUUGGCUGGAAUAUCUUUGGAAGAUAUCAAAGUGGUGUGUGACUACCCGGAUGUGUUCCCCGACGAUUUACCAGGUAUGCCACCUGACCGUGAAAUUGAAUUUGCUAUUGAUCUUUUACCUGGUACUGCACCUAUCUCCAAACGUCCUUAUAGAAUGUCGGUUAAGCAAUUAAAAGAAUUGAAACAACAAUUAGAGGAAUUAUCGGCAAGACAGUUUAUUCGGCCUAGUUCAUCACCAUGGGGAGCACCGGUUAUCUUUGUGCCAAAGAAGGACGGUACUCAGAGGAUGUGUGUGGAUUAUAGGGCACUGAACGAGGUAACCGUCAAGAAUAAGUACCCAUUGCCUUGCAUUGAGGAUCUGUUUGAUCAAAUGAGAGGAGCCAAGGUAUUCUCCAAGAUCGACUUGUGAUCGGGUUAUCAUCAGUUGAAGAUCAGGCCGUCCGACAUACCCAAGACUGCUUUUACUUCCAAAUAUAGUCUCUUUGAGUACACGGUAAUGUCAUUCGGGCUGACAAAUGCUCCAGCUUACUUCAUGUAUCUGAUGAAUAAGGUAUUUAUGGAGUACCUGGAUAAGUUCGUUGUGGUGUUUAUUGAUGAUAUCAUGAUUUACUCCAAGAGUGAGGAAGAACAUGAGGAACAUUUGAGGUUAGUGCUUCAGAAGUUGAGGGAGCAUCAGUUGUAUGCAAAAUUCAGUAAGUGUGAGUUCUGGUUGAAGGAGGUCUCUUUCCUUGGUCAUAUCAUCUCCGACGGUGGAAUUGCAGUGGAUCCAGGCAAGGUCAGGGAUGUUUUGAAGUGGAAACCGCCAGAGACAGUAGCUGAGAUUAGGAGUUUUCUCGGACUUGCAGGCUACUACCGCAGGUUCAUCGAAGGAUUCUCCAAGAUAGUGAAACCCCUCACUACGCUGCUAGAAAAAGGAAGGGAAUUCAAAUGGACAGAGGCAUGUCAGGCCAGUUUUGAGGAACUGAAGAAAAGGUUGACCACAGCUCCAAUGUUGGUAAUGCCAGAUCUACACAAAGGAUUUGACAUAUAUUAUGAUGCAUCUCGACAGGGUUUAGGCUGUGUUUUGAUGCAGGAAGGUCAUGCCAUAGCCUAUGCUUCCAGGCAGUUGAGGAAACAUGAGCAAAAUUACCCGACUCAUGAUUUGGAGUUAGCCGCAGUGGUACAUGCCUUGAAGAUUUGGAGACACUAUAUUCUCGGGACUAAGUGUCAGAUCUAUACCGAUCACAAGAGUCUCAAGUACAUCUUCACUCAGAAGGACCUUAAUCUGAGACAGCGACGAUGGUUAGAGCUUAUCAAUGACUAUGAUCUGGAGAUUCCCUAUCAUCCUAGUAAGGCUAAUCUGGUUGCAAACACUUUGAGUCGGAAGGGUCAUGCUAACCUAGCCUUAGCACUCCAGUUACCUGACGAGUUGAUGAAAGAAUUUGAGAGGCUGAACUUGAGUGUCGUUGCGCAUACUGAGGAAGCAACGAUGGAAGUGGAGCCAACUCUAGAGCAAGAGAUACGGGCAGGACAGCUUAAGGAUGCCAAGGUCAAGGAAAUUAAGGAGAUGGUAAAGGAAGGAAGAGCCACAGACUUUACAGAAGACUCUCAGGGAACCUUAUGGGUCAAAGGAAGGAUUUCGGUACCCGAUGUGGGGAACCUCCGUGAGAUGAUCUUGAAAGAAGCUCAUAAUUCAGCCUAUUCCAUUCACCCCGGUAGUACCAAGAUGUAUCAGGAUCUUAAGCAGAGGUAUUGGUGGCCCGGAAUGAAGAAAGAUGUAGCUGCACAUGUAGCUGUUUGCGACAUAUGUCAAAGGGUUAAAGCUGAACACCAGAGGCCGGCUGGAUUGCUUCAGCCGUUAAAAGUGCCUGAAUGGAAGUGGGAAGAAACCGGCAUGGACUUUAUCGUUGGAUUGCCCCGCACUCAAGCUGGUUACAACUCAAUUUGGGUUAUUGUUGAUAGGUUGACAAAGGUAGCACACUUCAUUCCUAUAAAGACUACGCACUCUGGGGCAAGAUUAGCAGAGUUGUAUAUGUCAAGAAUAGUGUGUUUGCAUGCUGUGCCCAAGAAGAUAGUGUCUGACAGAGGUACUCAGUUCACGUCACGCUUCUGGCAGAAGUUGCAUGAAUCCCUAGGCACAAGAUUAAAUUUCAAUUCAGCUUAUCACCCUCAAACGGAUGGACAGACCGAGAGAACAAAUCAAAUACUAGAAGAUAUGUUGAGAGCAUGUGCGUUGAAGCAUGGACUUAGCUAGGACAAGAGUUUACCCUAUGCAGAGUUCUCCUAUAAUAAUAGCUAUCAGGCCAGUCUCAAAAUGUCGCCAUUUGAAGCUUUGUAGGGUAGGAAGCGCAGAACACCUCUUUAUUGGAGUGAAACAGGAGAGAAUCAGUUAUUUGGGCCAGAAAUUAUACAAGAGGUAGAACGACAGGUCCAGAUCAUCCGAGAAAAGUUGAGGACUGCACAAUCUCGACAGAAGAGUUAUGCUGACAGCAGGAGAAGAGAAUUGACCUUUGAGGUAGGAGAUUAUGUGUAUCUCAAGGUAUCGCCCAUCAGGGGUAUGCGCAGAUUUAAGGUCAAAGGAAAAUUGUCACCUCGAUUCAUCGGUCCGUUCAAGAUUCUUGAGAGAGUGGGACAAGUAGCCUAUCGACUGGAGUUGCCUAACCAGUUGUCAGAUGUACACGACGUAUUUCAUAUCUCACAACUUAAGAAGUGCCUCAGAGUUCCCGAGCAACAGUUGCCUAUGGAGGAAUUGAAUGUUCAGGAUGACCUCACUUACACGGAAUACCCCGUUAAGAUUUUGGAUACUUUGGAAAGGGUUACAAGAAACCGGACGAUCAGAAUGUGCAAGGUUCAGUGGAGUCACCAUACGGAGGACGAGGCAACUUGGGAAAGAGAGGACGAGUUACAAAAGGAAUUUCCCCAUCUCUUUGCAGGAGUUUCCGAAUCUCGAGGACGAGAUUCUUCUUAAGGUGGGUAGGAUUUGUAACACCCAAAUUUUUAGAGAAUUCAAAUUCAUUAAAAUUUGCUCAAAUUAGGAUGUCAUUUAAAUUCUAGGCAUUUAAAUUCAUUUUCUUUAAUUUAAUUAAUUCAUCAUAGGAGUUUAUUGUGCAUUCAUGCUGGUGCAUUUAUUUUGAUUCCUUGGAUUUGAAUCAAAUUUGAAUUCCAAAUUUAAAUUCAAUUUUCGAAACCUUUUCCUUUUCCCUUUUCUUUUUCCUUUUCUUCUUCUCCUCCUGGGCCGCAUUCUCCUUUCUUCGCCUUCUUUUUUGUUUCUUUCGGCCCAGCUGCGCAGCAGCUCCUUUGGCCUUUUCCCCUUCCGCCGGCCCUCUCCGCUUUUUCUUUUUGCCGGCCCGCGAAGCUCCUCGCCGGCCCAGCUCCUUUCUCUCGCGCGGCUCGCCGCUCGCCCGCGGCCCGUGAGCGCGCGCCGGCCCACGAAGUCGCGCAGCCCGCCUACCGCCCACGGCCGCCGACAGGUGGGUCCCACCGUCGUCUCCUACCUCCGGCCGGACUCUCCUCUGCCCGCAACCGCCGCGCGAGAUCUCCGCACGGGCGCCGCCUUCCCCGACCGAUUUGAACCGGGGCUGCCUCUAUCUCCAAGCACGCCGCCACUAUAUAAGUCGCCGCCCCCUCCCCGGCCUUGAGCACCCGCGCCGCAGCACCCGAAACCCUAGCGCCCAAGCUCCCACGCCGCCGCCUCUUCUCCUCCGCCAAGUGCCGCCUCCGGUGAGCCUCGGUCGUCAAUGACCGCCAAAAUGAGAUCGCCAAGUCCUCCUCUAUCUUCUGGUGUUUUCCGCGCGCGAAACCGAGCCCUGGAGCGCCGUUUCGGCCUACUCCGGCGACCCGCCGCCGCUCGCCGCCGUCCGCCGCCGUCUGCUGCCACCGCCGCGAUGUCAUCGAUGACCGCGACCGUCGGAUCUAGAUCCGACGGCUCGUAGUGAGUCAAUCCGGCUGCGUAACGGUCAACCGCGUCGCACCGUGCCACUUUUCCGCUUAAGCUCCCACCUUUUCCGCAAAUCAACCCGCGGUCCAGAUCGCAUUGAAAAAUAUUCACAGAUCUGCCCUUGCGCUUUUCGGUUUAAACCCUGAGUUUUCUAAAAAUCAAACCACCAUCCGUUUUGGAGUUUUUGCACGUUAGACCUUCGGUUUAUACGUGUAAUUACGUAUAAGCCCUCGGUUUUCGCGGUUUGGCCCUAAAAGUCCCUGGAUCUUGUUUUAAUCAUAUCUUUUGCAUCUUAACUCUUUUUUUCGCGUUCUUUAUAUCCACGUGUUCGUUUUAAAGCGUAGAUCAAUUUUUCAAGCUUGUUUUAUCUGUUUAAUUGUGAUUGGUGUACUGUUUCUUACUUUUUUCCCAUGUUUGCUUGUAUGUGCUCGUGUGAUGCGUGUAGACGUCCCGCAGUUCGAGGGAUUUGAAGACCAAGCCUUCAAGGAGUACGAACAGUAGGAGUAAGGCCAAGAAGGCAAGUCGUGUCCUUGAUCACUACUUUUCUGUCCUAUACACCUUUACUUUCUCGUACUCAACAUUUAUGCCAUGCACUUGUUAAGAUUAAAUUGAUGGGUCCCAAUUAAGGUUCGCCUAGAUUGAAUUACCUUUGCCUUGACCAACCGGUUUACCAUUAUGUUGGGUAGCCCAUGCUUAGUGCUUACUUGGUAUAUGGUGGUUUAACUGAACACAAUGUUUAAUCUUUCUUUACUUCUAUUAUACCUUUCAUUAAUACAAGAGCACUAUUGUUAAUCGGAACAUGGAGCGACCACCCAGGAAAACAGUGCUACCACAAGACUAAAUGGCUCUGGUCUUGGCUGAAUAAUUAGAAACUCUAGUUUGGGGUAAUCUUACCGAAAGGGCAAGAGGGGAGGCGUUGAUGGGAUAUAGCACUCGCUCUCUUGGGAAGUGGGCUUGGCUAAGACACUAUACCCACUAGGGGACUGCUAUGUUCUGCUUCGACCUGAAACCUUAGCGGGUUACCACAUUGCUAGCGAAUCUUUGUAAAGGCCUCGUAGCGUCCCUAUGCAAUCACACCUCGAAAGUGUGGUAUGGUGCCUUGCAAACACCACAUGGUUGGGUCCAAAGUUCAUUUGAACUUUUACGCGACUUGUGGGUAAAGAUGUGCCACCUCUGCAGAGUGUAAAACUGAUCGAUCAGACGUGCUCACGGUUAAGAGCAGCCUGGACCCUCACGUGAUAAUAUUAUCGGAAUAUGGAUUUAAAUUGUUGUCAUUUCAUGCAUAUGUUGUUUACUUCAUUUAUGCUCAUGUUUAAUUUCGGGUGGUAUGAACUUAUGCUUAGUUAAUUGCUAAUAAAACUUGACCAACUUAAUUAAAAAUGGAUGCUAAUUAAGCCUUAGCCAUACCUUGAUUUGCCUUACACUACACUAUUCCCCACGACUUGUUGAGUACCAACCAUAAGUGUACUCACCCUUGCAAAACCGCUGUUCAGACCAAGCUAAUUUGGAGGAGUAUCUGCACGACUUUGAGGAGUUCUAGGCGUACGGUUCUUCAGUCAGCUGCCUGUGGUGUCGCCGUCGUCUUUGGAGUUCCGCUGCGUAAUAAAUUAGGCUUAUGUUUUAUUGAGACUUUCGGUCAUGUAAUAAUAUUUAAUACUCUCUUUAUUCACUUUAGCACUGUCUUUGUUAUUCACUAUUGUCGUACAUGUGUGUAACUUGAUCCUGGCGCACAUGUAUUUAAUGCACUCGAUUUUUUCCUUAAAAUCGGGUGUGACAAAAGUGGUACCAGAGCCAGGUUGACUGUAGGACGUUAGCCUAGUUAGAAAAUGGUCGUAUUUAAGGAUUAUAAUAAUCUAGUAGCCAUUCCUACCUUUCUUAAUUUAAAUCUACUUAAUAUUCUUAAACUUGAUUUGUCUCAUCCUUGUUGCUAUUUUAAUCCUUUAUUAUUGUCUUGGUUCGUUCAAAAUUUUAUUCUAAAAAAUUUUCUUCUUUCUUUCUGUUAAAUGGCUCACACUCGGUUGACAGCACGCAAGAGCACCCGUCCCCCGUGUCAUGGCAUCGCAUCGUAUCACCCCAUGGAGCCUAGGGACGAGGAGGAAGAGGAAGUCUCCUACUUCCAGCACCCGGGGGAUGAGACUGACGAGGACGCCAUGCCCGUAUUGCAGGAGACAGCACCGUCACCAACACCGACACCAGCACCGGCACCAGCACCGGCACCAGCACCUGCACCAGCCCCGGCGCCCGUACCUGUUAUCGACUUAUCGGACGAGGAGCUCGAACCAGAUCCCGAGCCCGAGAGAUGGAUCGGGUGGGUGAAGGAAGACUAUGGCCAAGGAGUGCACAUGGCCGACAUGCUGAGGUGGACUUGUCAUCACUUGGGAUACAGCAUAAGACCUAUCUACAAGUGUGCUCGGUUCACCGACCCUCGCUAUCCCACUUUUUGGGAGGUGAAGGUUAUCCUUCGAGAGGAGCAUGAAAGAGGAUGGGAGGUGAUGGCUGUUCACCAUGAUGUGGCGAUGAGGAGGACCAUGGAGUCCGGCAAUGCCGAGGCAGCUAGGAGCGCACUUGAGGUCCUUUCUCACAGGGAACGGCCACGGCUACAGUACACAUAUCGUCGGUUCCUUCCGUCCAGGGCUAGUGGAGAAGCAAGAACUUUCAUAGCUACUCAUGAUGGAGUUGACAUGGCCACGGACUAUCUUCACAAGUACUUCUCGGCAACUCUCACUGCUUUGAAUGAAACAAACAACCACCUCUUUGAGACUCAACGGGAGCUUCAUGAAGUUAGGUGGGAGAGAGAUGUGCUAGUGGCUUCCGCGACAAGGGCACCGCCGCCGCAAGAGGAUGCCGAUUUUCUCGCUUCGUCGCCGUCAACCAAGCGUCCCCGCUACGACUCGCCCGACGCCGCCGCAGAAGAUCUCUAGGAGUUAGGAGUGUUUAGCUUAAACUUUUGUAAUCGUUAGUCGUCGCUCAAGUGUGUUUAGAUUAAAGUGUGUUUAGAUGCUUGGUUUUGUGUUACAUGUUUGAGUUGGAUCUUUGUAAUGAGUGCGGUAUGUGGGGUAAUUGCCACACGAUACCGGUCUUAGUAAUAAAAGUGCUUGGUUGGGUUUUAGUUCUGUUCUAAAUCAGCUUCUAAUCUUUCUCAAUCAUGAUCUCCCAUUUGUCUAAAUCUAUCUGUCAUGGAAGCUAUGCGAUGUUCAAUUCUGCUCUCGACAUUAAUUGACACGUCAGUACUGUUUUAUUUUUAUCUCGAGCUACAAAGGUCCAAAUGGCAUGAAACCAGUGGGGUUAGCUUAAGAAUUUCAUGGAGUAUUUUCUGUAAAGUUUUCGGAAUUUUUGAAGGAUCUGUAUGGGAGAUAUAUGCGAAUUAGUAGAGCAAUCAGAAUCUGAAACUAUCAACCGACACUGUCAGCUUGUUAAUUUUGUAACCGGAGGUCUAGAAGUCAGAUUGAGGUGAUUCCAGUUGGGUUGGUUUAAAAAUGUUAUAGGUUACUACUUGGUAAUUUCUCAUUAAUUUUGGACACUUUUUAUGAUGGUCACAUCUAAUUUAACGGAGCUAACAGAAUCUGUCUCACUUUUAUAUCUUGUCGCUUUAUCUUUCUCAGUUAUUCCUUCACACACAUAUCUAAAUCUAUUGUCUCUAACGCUCAGAUGGUAAACACCAGGUCCGGAUCAGGAGUUGACCACCCCGCAGUGCCUCGUCACAGGGACAACAGCAGCAAUCCCAGCCCCGCUCCGCAACAGAAUCAACAAGCACCUGCAGGGAUGGAGCAGUUCUUGGCAGCCCAGACUCAGCUUCUCGCCGGACUGACCAACACCGUGGCAGCCUUACAAGCUUAGCUGAACAACAACAACAACCAGCAGCAGCCGCCGCCAAGGGAUAGGCAUAGGGAGUUCAUGAGCCACAAGCUCCCAACGUUUUCACACUCCCCAGACCCGCUAGAUGCUGAUGACUGGUUGAAAACCGUGGAGAAGAUGUUGAACAUCACCCAGUGUUCUGACAGGGAGAACGGGAUACUACGGUUUGCAUUGGGUCUAUGUUAGGUGGGGAAUGAAAAAGGGUACAACAACAUCAUCACCGUUCAUUCUGUAAAAAAACAACACAUGAAAUUUAUAAAAUCGUGGGCAUGUUUCUUAAAUGUUUCGAUCUAAGAAAUGUAUAUAUAUAGUCAUGGUAGAUAGUUUUUUCUAAAAUCUAUUUGUAAUCAGCUAGUCAUUGCAUAUGCUUUUAAAAUCCAUAAGUAAUUCAUGGCAUGCAACAAUCUUUUUUAUCGUGUCCAUCCUCAUCUCUACUAAAACUCGUGGAGUUUUUCUACCGUACCUUAUACUAGAAUUUGGUGGUAUGUAAUACAGAGACAAUCUAACCAUCAGUGCCUUAACAAAACACUAGUAGAGGCUCAAUUUUUUUGGGCGGCCUAAAAGGUCACCCGCCCCUAAAAAGGAGCAUUUGUAGGGCUGGGCCAUGGGUGAGACAUCCCACCAUUUUUAGGCGGAUGAUGGGGUGACAUGCCCCUGAAUAUAUAUAUAUAUAUAUAUAUAUAUAUAUAUAUAUAUAUAUAUAUAUAUAUAUAUAUAUAUUCUGAAAAUGAAAAGCAUUUCUAGAAGCGGGCGAUGGCAUCACCCGCUUCCAAAAAUUAUUUAUAGGGGAGGGUGAUGGCAUGCCGCUCCCAAAAAUUAUUUAUAGGGGAGGGUGAUGGCAUGGCUCGCCCUUAGAAAUGUCAAAUAAAUUCUUAACUUUUUUAUAUGAUCUCGAACGAAGAAAAAUUUAAUAUUAAAAUUCUAGAGCUUGAUGAGAUCUAGGUCAUUUAAUAGUCAAAAAAUCAUUAUCAGUUCUCAAAUUUUGAAAUCUAGAAUUUCUGAAUUUUUCAAACAACCCUCGAUGUAGAGCAGCUCUAUAUCAAUGUUCUAGUGGUUAAACAGAUCUAAAAUUCAUAUAUUUUUCAAUUAAGAUGGUUUAGGAUCCCAUGAUUAUUUAGGCAUUAGUUGUGCCCGACAUAACUAUUACUAUUGAUAUAGAUAGUGCAUUUAUAUACACACUAGACUAUAUAGUUACACUAUAAGAAAUCUUCCAACCUAUGAAGAACCAAAAAGUGUCGUAAACACGUUUUUUGCGUCACAAACCGUGAUUUAUGACGCGGGAGUGACGAAAACCCUUUGUCAUUAGUUGAGCAUUAUAAACCACGACUAGUGACGUUCCUUAUUUCGUUGGUUCCUACUAUUAUGCCACAAUGGACAUAAUCUAAUGUGGCAUCCGAUGUGGCAUGACAAUUGUGACAAAUUAUUUCAUCAUAAAAUGAAUUUGGCCCAUUUGUGUUGGGUUCCCACAGGUUAAUGUUGUUCAAAUAGCCCACAAUUGAUUCUGGUAGACCUGUUUGUUAUUGGGACGAGCCCAAAUUUAUUUCCAGAGGCCAUUGUUGGUUGUUCAAGUAGCCCAAAAUUGAUUCCAGAAGGCCCAUUUGUUGUUGGGUCGAGCCCAAAAUUGUGCAAAAUGUUUGCGGCCCUUUAAGUCCCGAUUUAUGAAUGCAAUUGACUUUUAGCCCAAUUAUAUGUGGGCUAAGCUCACUUAAGGAAAACAUAAAUUUAACCAAUUGGGCAUGACAAAUAAUUGAUUUCAUUUCAAUUCUGAUCCGGUUGGCAAAAUAAUAAACAGAGCACACAUAUUUAUGUAUACAAGAAAAUAAAUUAUUGUUCCCAUCGAGACAACCACUACCAUAUUGUUCUUCACAUAUCACAAACUAUUACAAGAUAACUACCUCACAAAUAAUAGAGAUUGACAAAGCUGCAUCUAGGUCAUAAUCUCAAGAGACAAAGUAGAGUAUUGAUCUUAACCUCUUCCUCGUAUAUAGGUUAGCAGUCGAUGAAGGAGUGCUUCACUAUCUUGUAUUACCUUCUUCAAGUUCUCAAUCUCAGGUGAUUGCAAUUUGAGAGUUGAUUCUAAUUCUUCUAUCUUCUUCUUCAAGGUUGCUAACUCUUGCUGAUGAGCAACAAACUAUUGUCGAAGUUGUAUCCCAUCUUAUUUGUUGGCUACAACUUGCUCCCCAUCAACACUGUUGCAUAAGGAUUUAGUAGAGCUUCUUGAGUACUCCGCUGCCUCAUCAGGUUUUUUUCAGCAAGAAGCAGCAUUGAUUUGUGAACUUCCAUCUAGAAAUAGUGGAUGCGAAAUCAGAUUGGGAUCUUGUAAUUGCGUUAAACUAAGGAAAGAAGGAACAUCAACAAUCAUCAUGUGUUUAGUUUGUUACCCUAGAGCUGGACUAAAUAGGAGCGACUACAGAUGUUGACCCUUUGGCCGGCUGAAACAGGAUAUAGUUAAACUUCGGUUGAUGCAUUUGUUUAAGUAUAAAUUAAGAACAGACAAAUAACCAAGCAUAAGAACAUGUGGCAAUGGUUGACAUCAUCUGCAAACUGAAACAAUUUCAUCCUUUAAGUUCUACAAAAAACUUCAGUUGAUGCAUUGGUUUAAUUAUAAAUUAAGAGUGGACAAAUAAACAAGAACAAGAACACGUGGCAAAGGUUGAGAUCAUACGCAAACUGAAGCAAUUUCAUCUAUUAAGUUCCACAAACCAUAUAAACAAAGAGCACGGGGAAGCAAUCUAAUAAUUUCAUCGAUUAAGUUCUACAAACCACAUAAAUAAUUUGAGAUAAAGGAGAUCUGGUGGAGCAGUAAUUCUUGGAAAAGGUGAAAGAUAAAGGGGAUCUGGUGGAGCAGUAAUUUUUCACCAACUCUUGCAAUAGGGUACAAUAGGUCCACAUUCACCAAAGCAUGCAACUAGAAUAUUGAAAGCUAAAGAGUAUGGGGAAGCAAUCUAAUAAUUGAAUUUAGCAAUAUGGGUUGGAGACUGCUGAGUUGACGAACAUGAAGAGAAGGAGGUGCCAAAUGCCGCCUCGAUGGAGCGGCCUGGGCAUGCGCCGCUUCCUCGGUCUUCCUUGAAUGUAGUCGGGCACGGUAGCCGUCGGUGGCAGCCUCAGGGAAGCCGACGGAGCGACAGCCUUGAACCAUCUCGUAGCUUCAAGCCCAUCGCCGAGGAAGGCCGCUGCUCGUAGCUGAGGUAGCCCACCGCUAGUCCAGCUUGACGGUGCUGCUGAGGUCACGCUUGCUGCUGCCGCUGCAGAUCUACUAGGGCUAUUUGGCAGGAAGAGGAGAGAGGACCGAUUUUGGAAUUAACGGGCAGUAUGUGGGAGGCUUGGUUCCCCUCUUUUAUUUAAAUAUAAUGGGGGAGGACCCCGAGGAGGACUGGGGAAUUCAAAAUUUCACUUCCCGCCUUUGUUCUCUGUAGCGGGAGAUGAACCUCUUUGGAAACUGCCACGAGACCUGGGUCACUUGCACGUUGGACCGCUUGGGACUCGGCCCCGAGCGUUAGUGACCUUACAUAGACGAGCGGUUCCAGAAGGGAGUCUGGGACAGUCUGUGGUAUCAUGGCAUUGUUGAGCACUCCACGGAUUAUCCUUCUUGGUUGAUUCAUGUCUGCAGGAUGAUGUGACUAUUGCUUUACAAAUGUAGUUCAGUGCAAUAAAUUAAUGUACCGUUUUGACUGUUUCCAUGAUAAAAUACACUUAAAUAAUACAUUAAAACUACAACGGACUCUAGCGGUGGCCUCCUAAUCUCUACUCAAUGUUCUUUAAAGCAAGCACACGUAUCCUCUUGAUAACUUCGAGAUGGUGGUAAUACAAGAACGCAAAAUUCUUUGUGAGAAUUCCGUCCAGCGAGAUUAGCGCUAUGAGAGACAUGCACUUCCGCUACAAUUGGGUGUAGUUAGUCUCAAAUGCCCAUCUUAGAAAUGUGGUCACAGUUUUCUCACACGCCAUGUCCCACAUCUUUGACGCAUAGUGUAGUUUCAACCGUUCGAUGCAGUACAGGUUGGCGAGUGAGAGUAACAGAGGCCAGGCGUUGACAGGGGUGUCCCAUAAAUCAGCCUCAUCUGGGAGUGAUCCUUUGUAGGCGUAUUGAUCUGCAGUGAGAAGCCAGCAGAGUUAGUGUCUUUAAUUGAAAUAGUUUUUGACUUUGACUCCACUGCACUACCAUAAAGCAAUGCCUCCAUCACACGAGAUAGUGCCACCACAUCGGGCCGUCUUGCUCGAAUCACUCGGCCACCUAUGUUGAAGACAACGUCCACAGGGGCUUGGGCUGCAAAUCUUGGGCAUAUGCUUCUACCUACUGAUGGAGGUGGAACUUCAACGUAGUCAUCCUCCAGUACUGUAAUAGUGCAGGAUAUGUUGACGCAACCGGAAUGGUCCCACACACGCUCAAUCUCAUGAUGCCCCACGAGGCAAUUAAAGCCAUGUUCUAGAUUCCCAUUCCCGAACUUCCUUUAAAUCUUGAACUCAAAAUGUAUCAUCAUAAUCUAUUGCGUCUCCAGCCAUCGGAUGGAACAAGACUCGUACCUACGUGCAAGCAUUCACAUGGUUGACCAUUGGAGUGUAUAUGUGAGCAUGUGUAUUCAUAGCAUGAGACACCUACCUUUGGCGUGUUGUUCAUCAGAACGAGGACAACGGAAAUUCCUUCUCGUCCGCUGGUGGGUACCACGAAUCAUGAAUACCCGUAGGGUAGCAACGUAUCCUCCAUUGAUGACCUCCGAUCAUGAAUGUACUGGAUUCCUUGUACUACUGAAUAGUUCUUUCAGCUUUUGCUUUCGUGCUUGAGACUGAGAAGUCGACUUGCGACGCAGGGAACAUGGUAGUGUGUAAUGCCAUAACUGCAAAUGACAAUGAUUGACUCGUGGAAGUGUGUCAUUCCGAAAUGGCCAUUCGUGAACAUCCGUUACCAGUCUUGAAUUGACACGUCCCUACAAUGGCAGUCAUGAAUGCCCGUUACCAGUCUUGAAUCAACACGCCCCUAUGGUGGUGGUCAUGAAAACCCGUUACUAGUCUUGAUUCCUGCCCUUUGGCGGUAUUUGGUCCGCCAUAUUCCUCCUAGGCCUAGUUGCAUUGACCAGUUCACGUUUUUCAGGCUCUGCUGGCAUGUGAGAAUCAUCUAGUGUGAAUCCAUGCCCUUGGCAAUCCUUUUCAGCCACGCACCAUAGAUAAGUAGGACUAGUCAUGAGAUCCUGCACCGUGCAUCUGACAACGUAAGGACUAUCCGACCUUAUCGAUUUGUGCAACAUGACAACAAUUAUUAUCUUACUCCAGAUGAAUGGUGGCAAGAUCUUUCUUUCAUUUAACUCACAUUCAAAAGGGAACCUAUGACUCAUAAUCUCGCAUGAAUUGUUUCGCAUGAAUGUCUGGUGUUGUAUGCUGGAUAGUCCAGCGAACUGUACACAUGCACACAUUAGGCUUAUCCUGUGACACCCGUCGUGUGCACAUGUAACCGAUGUGCAAAACUGAAGAUUGCUACCUACAUUUGUGGUAGGCUUAGGCCUAAAUAUAUUAUGAGCAUCUCACAUUUUUCAUUGCAACUUUGUCCUGCCACACCGAGCUCGCAUGCCCGCCAAAGUGCUAAAUAAAUAGAUGGCACCUUGACUCAUCAUUUCACUAUCUUGCAUUGUUCUAUGUGGAUUCCUUUGUUAGAGUGUGUCGUUGAACUUGUACCGACUGUGGAUCUAUUCCUAUGUAUGCGGCGGCCUAUGAUUGUGGUGCUGGUAAUAAGAAUGGUCAUGUUUAUCUAUGUUCUAACACAAAUUGUUGCAUUUGUGAUUGGUACGUUCUCAUUGCCAUACAAUUGUGUAAAGGAUCCACAAGAGAAAAAACUUUUAUGAGGAAGGGGGAAAGUCCGUGCUCUGUUUUUGAGCUGACUAGAUGAAAGUGCAAGAAAUAGGCCUUCUUGGUCUCAAAACAGUUCUGCUAGGUUCAACAAAGGGAAAAGUCCAUUAUUUAGUUUUUUAAUAGACCGGUUAAAAUUGUUACCAAUAAUAAUGCUACUUAAUUAAACUCAUCUUACUAGCAAAAGAAAACCACAUCGCAAAGGAAUCUAGAUCCAAGAUGACAACAGAUGCAGUUGAUGCCAAUAACUGUCACAAAUGAAUGGUGGCAACAUCUUUCUUAUAUUAAACUCACCGUCGAAAGGGAACCUAUCACUCAUAAUCUCGAAUGACUUGUCUCGUAGGAAUAUUUUGUGUUGUAUGCCAGACAGUCCAGCAAAUUGUACAAAUGCACACGGUGGGCUCAUCCCGUUACACCCGUCGUGCACACAUGUAACCGAUGUGCAACACUGAAGAUUCUAACCUAGAUUCGUGGUAGGCUUAGGCCUGAAUAUAUUCCGAGCAUCUCACAUUUUUCAUUGCAACUUUGGCCUGCCACACCGAGCUCACGUGCCCAUUGUAGUGCUCAAUAAAUAGGCGGGUGCACAGCGUUCUUGCAAGGCAACGCCUACACUCAUCGGUUCACCAUCUUGCAUUGUUUGAUUGGAGGUACGCGAGCUCAUUUUCUUAUCUAUCUCAUUUACUAUAUAUGCAUGGUAUUGAUAUGGUCAGCAUUGUAAGUGUUUGGUGCCAUUGUUCUUCGUUUGUGUAUGUAGUGGAGAAUGACCGGACAUGGAAGAGACAGAGCAUGGAACUUGGAGGAGUCGAAUAAGCGAGAGCAGCCUACCCCCAUGGCACCUUAGCAGUAGCCGGCUUUGAUGGCACCUGUGCUUUAGCCGCUAGCAACGGUACCUCAGCAGCACCCUGUCCGCAUGGCACCUCCAAUUCAGCCGCUGGCAAUGCCACCUUAGUAUCAGCUGAACAUCAUGGCACCACCUUUUCACCUGCUGCCCAGGCCUCCACCUCUGCUGUUGCCCAUUGAAAUGCCACCGCCAUGACCUGUCCUCAUCGAACUAGAUGAAUCGCAUGAGCUGAAAUGGUCUGUGUUGGCUUGGCUUCAGUAGUCCGGGCUCAACCGUGUUCGUCUCCAUGGUAUGUGGGUCUGCCCUUUUUGCCAGAUUUGUCACAGGCAAUGGACCAUUCGUGACCUCGUGUUCCAUGCACAUACCAUCACCAUUUCACCUGCAUCGAUGUGGGAUACUAGGGUGAGGCAUCGUGCUUUAGAAGAGUAUCUCCACCAAGAUGGUUGUUUUGCUGAAUUCCAUGCUGCCGCGGGGUUGCCACAAUGGUAGUAGUAUGUCGGCGCACCAUUUGUAUGCCUAUGUUUGUCGUGCUUCUCGUUCAUUAGAGUGUGUUAUUGUACCGACAAUGGACGUAUGCAUUGGGUCUAUGUUAGGCGGGGAAUGAAAAAGGGUACAACAACAUCAUCAACGUUCAUUCUGUAAAAAAACAACACAUGAAAUUUAUAAAAUCGUGGGCAUGUUUCUUAAAUGUUUCGAUCUAAGAAAUGUAUAUAUAUAGUCAUGGUAGAUAGUUUUUUCUAAAAUCUAUUUGUAAUCAGCUAGUCAUUGCAUAUGCUUUUAAAAUCCAUAAGUAAUUCAUGGCAUGCAACAAUCUUUUUUAUCGUGUCCAUCCUCAUCUCUACUAAAACUCGUGGAGUUUUUCUACCGUACCUUAUACUAGAAUUUGGCAGUAUGUAAUACAGAGACAAUCUAACCAUCAGUGCCUUAACAAAACACUAGUAGAGGCUCAAUUUUUUUGGGCGGCCUAAAAGGUCACCCGCUCCUAAAAAGGAGCAUUUGUAGGGCUGGGCCAUGGGUGAGACAUCCCACCAUUUUUAGGCGGAUGAUGGGGUGACAUGCCCCUGAAUAUAUAUAUAUAUAUAUAUAUAUAUAUAUAUAUAUAUAUAUAUAUAUAAUAUACUCCGUAGCCAGCUAUAGAAUAGGAUAUUCUGUAGCCAGUGCACGUGGCAUGUGGUGAUUGGCCAUCCCGCUCACGUCUGGUCGUUCGCGCGAGACCAUCAAUCUAAUAUCACGCAAGCCAGUAAACGAGCUGUUCGUGCGAGCUAUUGAACGAGCCGUUCGUGCGAGCCAGUAAAUUAACGCCAGAAAGCCAUGCUCAGAGCCAUGAACGGCCAGCAACGUCAAAACGGCCGCCACAGCACAAAUCAGGAUCCGGCGUUUGCUGAUUUAGCCCAGGAUUGAACUAACCAGUAAAACGACACAGCACAAAUUAAUUCUCCUGCUCAGAUCCGCCGCCACAGCACCAUGGCCGCCGCCACCUACUGCUCAGAUCCGGCAUCCUUGGCCGUUUCCCACGCAGGCCCGCGCAUGCAGUCGCCGGGAGAUCACGCCGCCGGCACUCCUGCCGCGUUCGUGCGGGGGGCCGCCGGUGGGUUGGAGCCGACUUCCCCGAGCCGCUGCUGUUGGACGGAACAGAGCUGUUACGACAUUGAUUGGCUUCACUCAAUCAGCGCGAGGUGCUCGGAUGAAUUUGUGGCUGUGGCACUAAUUACGGCAGCAGUGUAAUCAAUCGACAAUUAAUUGCUGUCGUUAAUGGUGAGUCCAUCUCCUGUGCCUGCAAGAAUCCGGAGGUCUCCCUGCAGGUUGAAAUUGCAUCAGCAGGUUGGGUCUCGCUCCUGCACAAUCCGAUUCCAUGGAUGGCGCAACUUCAACACCCACACCGGAGGUGUCCCCUGUACUGCUGAUGCCGCAAUCGCCGGAGCUGGAGGUAAAUGGCGCACGGGUGACUCCUCUCCAACAUGUGUCGCCAGAGACGAUGGCAACGCCCGAUCCGGAGAGGACCUACUUGCAUGUGAGUGUGCUGGCUUUUAGUCUUUUCUUCUUGCUGAUCCAGCUAAAAGCUAAAUGGUGUCGCAUGGCUAAAUUUCCAAAUUCAUGUUUUAGGUGACCCCCCCAAAAGGUCUGAAAGUUCAGGACACAUUUGAAUGAACCUUGAUAGUAAAAUCCAGGAAACAGUGCUUGGUGCCAUUAUUCAGAAAUUCAGAAAUCAGAAACGUCCAGCAUGAAUUGCAUUAUGAUUAUUCAUUACCUAGUUGAUUCCUGGUAUAUAUAUACCUAGCUUUCAGAAAUUCAGGAACCAAAGCGUACAGCAUGAAUUUCAUUACAUAGUUCAUUCCUGAUUAUGUUAUCAGAAUUCCAGAAAUCUUAGAUAUGAUUGGUUCAGUAAUAUGCCAUGUAGCCCUACUGAUGCAGCUGUUGUCCCCUAUCUCAUCCUAGUGUAGUUUGAAAUAAUAAAGAUUGUGCUCCAAACAUUCUGUAGUAGAGAUAUGUGUAUUUUAGAAGUUGUGGUACUGCCUUUCUGAUAUGUGUUUUUUUUUCCCAGGAUCCCUUGUUGCCAGAGACAAUUGUGCCAACCGAGGAGCUGCGUUUUGACAGUAGAGAUGAAGCCAAGGAAUUUUACAAAUUCUAUGCGGGCAAGGCAGGGUUUGAUGUGCGCAUAACCAAGACAAGUAGGAAGACGGUACUGGAGUUGUCGUGCAACAAACAAGGACACUGGGAUUACUACAAGCCUGGUGAGGAGAGGGUACGUGAGAAAAUGUCAAUGAGGUGUAGCUGCAAAGCUUUUGUGAAGAUUAAAUGGAACAAGAAGAAGGACUAUUGGUUCUUUGAGAGGAUAAGGUUGGAGCACGAUCAUCCACUGCAUCCCUCGCCGACCGUAACACAGUUCUUGAGGAUACAAAAGGACAAGGACCCUAUAGUCAUGGGUAUUGUUGAUCAGAUGCAUAGGUGUGAUGCUUCCCACAACACUACAGUAAAUGUGCUGGCAGAAUUAUAUGGUGGUCGGCAGAACUUCACGUUCACGGAAAUGGAUUUGAGAAAUAGGUAAUGUCUUCAAAUGUACUAUUGUUGAUGUUGUUGUUGAAUACAUGGAAACCUUUAUAAUUAAAUUGAUGUAUGUGUUCAUGGUUGCAGGAAAGCUGCAACUGCCAGGGAGGAGAGGGAAAAUGAUAUACCAAAGUUGCUUGAGUUCUUCAGGGAGAUGAAGGCCCAUAAUGAGUAUUUCUACUAUGAGUUGCAGGUAGACAGUGAAAAUGUUAUCAAGAAUGUGUUCUGGAGUCAUGCAAGCCAGCGUGCAGAAUAUAUAGAUUUUGGAGAUGUGGUUACAUUCGACACCACAUACAAAACAAACAUGUAUAGCAUGCCUUUAGCCAUGUUUGUUGGGUCAAACCAUCAACUGCAGAAUGUCGUGUUUGGUCAAGCAUUGUUGCAGGAUGAGCAAGCUAACACAUUCGAGUGGUUGUUUGGGGCAUUCAAAAACUGUAUGUCCGGAGGUCGGGACCCACGGUGUAUACUUACAGGUGAGGAAUGUUUAUACACGAAUGUCAUGAGUGAUACGUAACUUGAAAUAAUUGGUAACUUUGUCGCAUUUACUGUGUUGCAGACCAGGAUAGUUCAAUGGCGGCAGCGAUCAAGAAGGUGUUCAAACAAACACAGCACAGGUUGUGCCGUUGGCACAUGCUUAAGAAGUAUAAAGCAGAGCUGAAAAAACUAUACAAGAUUCAUGAUGGUCUGAAGAUAAAGCUCGUCACCGUAAUCAAUCACCCACUUACGCCUACAGAGUUUGAGUUUGCAUGGAAUGAGUUGGUGGAUGAGUAUGGCAUACGGGAGGAUGACACUAUUCAGGGACUUUGGGAGAGUAGGAAAUUGUGGGUUGCUGCUUAUUUCAAGCCCUUGUAUUGUGGCAGGAUGACCUCUACACAGAGAAGUGAAAGUGUAAAUAAGAUGAUCAAGGGGAGUGGCUUCACAGGACAUAUGACAUGCAUGAGUAAAUUUGCACGCAGGAUGCUAGACUUCAUUCAACACACCAAUCACACAGCGGGUGGGGAAACCCAUUGGUCUCAGGUAAUAGUGACAAUGUAUUGUUUGAAAAUAUCAUUCACUAGCGUUUACUAGGGAUUAAUGUUUUAAGUGGUUGCCCAUGAAAUAGGCUGGUAACUGGCGGCUGACGUUGCAGCCCUUUGAUGGCCAUCUUAGCAGAGUGUACACACGAGCCGUGUACAAGAAAUACAGGGAAACUUAUAUUUAUAAUACUGCUUUCCGUAUUGAUCCUCAUCCUACCGAGGUUGAUGUUUACCUGGUGACUCACACGGAUCAGUCAUGGCAAUAUGCUUGGUUUCAACAUUCAUUUAGAGUGGAGGCUGAUGUACGAUCCGGUAGAUAUACAUGCGAGUGCAAGACAUGGGAGCAUACAGGUAAAAAUGGUGCAAUUUGAAAAAAAUUCAUCUCAGCAUUUCAAUGUAUAUUGUGGCCUGGUGAAAUGGUGAAAAAGUAGCACUGAUUAUGUUUAAUUUCAUUGUUACAGGCUUGUUCUGCGCCCAUCUUAUUAAAGCCUUCACGUACCUUCAGAUCGACAACAUACCUGCAGAGUACAUAAUGAAGAGAUACACGAGGGGUGCAAGAACGAUGGUACCGUGGGACAGGCAUGACAUUGUGACUUCGGUACCGGGUUGUGAGAGCGAUCAAUACAAAACAAAGAAACUAGUAGAAAUUGCGAUGGCUGCUGUGAGAGCAUGCCGCAAAACAAGUCUUGGGUUCGAGAAAGGCUGUGAGCAGCUGUCUGCAUUGGUUGAGUGGGGUGAAAGUAUUGCAAAAGGUACAGGAGCAUCACAUGUGGGGGAUCAUACAGAAGAACAGAGUGAUGUGAUCCCGCAUACUAUAGGUGAACCUGCGGCUAGUUUGGCUGAACAAGAUUCAGCAGUUGAUACUGCAGUCCAAAUUUCGGAGUGUGCACCAAGGGAGGCAAGAACAAAGGGGAGGAAGCGUGGAGGGAGACAGGUUGUUAAUGAACAUGCAAGUUCCAGUAAGGCACAGGGGCAGCGGACAUGUGGAUAUUGUGGAUCUUUGGGUCAUUAUAGUACGGGGUGUGAUUUGAACCCGGAUAACAUCAAUAAGAAACGAGGUGCAGGUGGGAGUUUGCGGGGCAGGAUGGGAUGGAAGAGGGGGAGACCACCCACAAAAAGGCAACUGGAGGAUGAGUUUAAUGGUGUUGCAUGAGUUGUGUUUACUAAUUGGGUGUGUUUGGAACAAAUUAAUGGUUGUGUUUGGAUAAUUACUGAAUGGCUGUAGGAGAUUAUUGUGCAUCAUGAAUUUAUUCAUUCUGGUUCCUUCGUGUCUUGAGUAUUGUGAACCCACUUGCUAUCAGUGAUGUUGUUGGCAACUAAACUGUUCGCAACUAAACUGUGAUGUUGUUGGCGCCCAGCUGCAAGUGCGCGCAGCAUGUUUUGCAUCUGCUAAUUUUUUUUCCGGCCAAUGUUGCUCAGGUUCGGACUGUAUAAUCGUUUACACUUGUUUUACUGUAUCCAGCUGCAAGUGAUCGACUUACACUAUUCAAUGUCAAAGAAAUGAUGGUUUAGUGUUUACGUGUGCUAGUUAGUGUUGUCGGGCGUACAGCUGCUUCCACAGUUUGUUCUGAUGUCAUGCGUUUCGUGUCCCAUGGUAGCUCUGAUUAGUUUAGCCUGAAAUCAGGGCUUAAUAUGUCAUUUUUUUGCUACUGCUAUCAGAAAAUGGAGGCAUGAAGAACUAAGACAUUGCAUUGCCUUUUCAGAAUUAUUUGUGAAUCUGAGGUAUUAUGAGGCCUUCUAAAUAUAUUACUGUACUUUUAAUUAUUUUAUACUUGUAUACCGAAUUGUUUGGCAAAUUUUGUAGUUUUCUUUUCCGAUUGUAUAUUCGAUUACACCGAAUUCAUAUUGGAGUAUCGGUGACAUACCCUGGGCCUGGGUUCGCCGGCUGUCCGGUUCAGUUCCUGUCUACUUCCCUUGUUCUGAAUCUUAAGAUAAAUCCAUCUUCAUCUUGCCUUGUGUUGCAGGGCCUCAGGAGGAACAAGCAACGGGAAAAGGACAGGACUGGAAGGAACAGGCUGUAUAAUAAAAUGGAGCAGUAAUUAUGUACUAUGUAAUUGAGAUUCUAGGAGUAGAAAUGGAGGCAGUUGUAGUAAAUUAGUGUACGACAUUAUCAUCUAAUAAAUUGUAUGGAUAUUUGGCAACUGUGUUUUUUAAACUUGUUAUCAGAGAUGAAAUUCCUUUAUCACAAAAAGUGCAUGGGAACAUUCAGCAGAAAUCAGAAUGUCUCUGCUCAGGUCAGAAUGUCUCUGCUCAGGUCACAGGUGCAGCUGAACAUAUUCGGACUGGAAAAUGCAUGCACAGAGCUCGCCAACAUGGACCGGCCAGUUCAGCAACGGCCUCACCACCCAAACACAUAUUCAGACUGGAAAAUUGGACCCAAGAAGCACAGUAUUCCAUUUACAGUAUGGAUAUUUGGCAACUGUUAUUUACUGGGCAUGUGAAGCACAAAACUUGUAUUCCAUUUACAGUAACAACUCAAAUUUGUGAAGAACAUAAUUAAACUUAUUUGGGAUCCAUGAAAUUCAAGCGACCACACGGAAUGUCUAUGUCUGGAAGUUGUAGAGAAUGAAGGGACAGUAAACAAAUGAAGGGACAAUAAACAUGUUUCUAGUCCACUAGGAUCACAUGCGACGCCUAUGUGCUUCUAGACCACCAGGGAGCUUCUUGAUCUCGUUGAUUGGAUGGUAGAUGCCGUAGAAUAGGAGCUGGGACCUAUAUUGCCGAAUGUCUUCCUGCAAUGCAUAGGUAAACAGCAAUCAGGACUAUUGUAGAUGGAUUAAUAAUUAGAAACCUUGAGUUUUGGUAAGAGUGGUUAGUCGUACUGUUAGGAUUGGAACGUGGAAAGAGUCACCGUUCCAUAGCUCCAUGGAUUUGAUGGCAUAGAAUCCACAAUCAUUGUCGUCCGUAUGCAUACAUGGAACAAUGAUAGGACGUUUGAAUCUGGUAAAUUGCUUCAUUUCAAAAUCUGUUACCAACUGGAACAGGAGAUUAAGGCGUCGAAUAAUUCGGUCACCAAGGACUUGGUGGUAAUCUGUGUGGUCGUCUGGACUAGAAUCAAUUACAUCAAUGCGGUCAUGUAUGAAGUUGAUGCAGUAGAUGGUAUAGUGCUCCUCCUCCAUAACCGGCAAAAGGAACUAGACAUGACAGAGGUAAAAUGAAGUGCGGAAACUGUAAGUUCAAAAUCAGUUGGCAGCCUUUUUUUGUAGUACAUUGAUGUGGUUGUCGGGAGUAGAUAGUACUUACUAGUUUCACUUUGGUUGCGUCAAGAUCUCCAAUAUCUCGCUGUAAGACAGCUAGUGCCUGAUGUGAUUCCCACUGAGAGAACUCUUCAUCUUUCUCAAUAUUGACAUAUUCCUGGAUGUAUAAUAUAAUGACAUUAGAGGGUGUAAAUUUUUUUAUUGAAUUGUGUAGUGAAUGGAUUAGGUACGCGCUCACCCCAAGCUCUUGAGAUAGAAAGACCCUAUACCCACCACCAUCAGGCAUGUGGCAUUCAUCGUAGCUCAUGCAGGCCACAAGGUAUGACAUGAACUGAGUGGAAAGCAUCUCGCCAUCAAGGAAAGACUCCUCUAUAUCUAAUCCACUGAAUUCUCUCAAGCCGGUACGGAUGAAAAUAUCGCUGGUAUGCAAAGAAAUGACUCGUAAGUGUGUGCAUGCAGCAUUGGAUCUUCAGGAGUAGGUUGUAAACAAUACCUUUUGCACUUCAUGUCAGUUCUGAACUUUUUCCUAACAGCAUGUGCUGUUAACUGUGGAGCUUUAGCUCUUUGUGGAUCGCCUUUGAAAGGGGACACGUACCUGGCUGGUCGUUUUGUAAGUCUUUGUGGCCUUGGAGCAAUGGCUGGACGAUGGAUGAACUCCUCUUGUGUGCAAGGCUGUAGAAGAAUAGGGCCAAGUGCAUCAUCUUUGUUGGUUGCAGCUUGAAAAUUUUCCUCAUCUCCUGUUAUUUUUUGGAAAAAGAGACUAACAUGUAUAUUUGCACAACAUAAUAAAUAUGGUAGUACAUACACAUAAUUUAUCUGUCACAAAUCCCGGACCAUGUCGUGGUAAGCAGGGACUAAUAACUUUGUGAUAUUAUAGUCAACCAUUACUAAACGUAGCAGGUAGCUGCUGAUCACAAAUCCCAGACCAUGUCGUGGUAAGCAGGGACUAAUAACUUUGUGAUAUUAUAGUCAACCAUUACUAAACGUAGCAGGUAGCUGCUGAUCAUGUGCAACUUGCUCUUGUAAUCUAAGGCAAUCAGUACUGUUGUGAUGUCACUAAGAAAAUGUUAUAUUCUGAAGACAUUAAUUUUAAUCCUGUUGCUGCCCGCAAGUAGAAUAUAUAAUAUGUUACAUAUUCAUAUAUAGGUUCACACAGAAGUGUGGUUGAAGAACAGAUAGUUUACUGUAAGGUUGAUGCAUAAAAAAUACAGGUGUGAGUGUGUACAACUGAACUAAAAUAAGUAGCAGGAGAAAAGGAUGAUGGAACUAUUUGAAAAGAAUCCAUACUGCCAUUUGGUGAAGGUGCGACAGGGUCUCCUUUAGCCGGAACAUGAGGCACGAUGUGAACCUAUACAUGAAGAAUCAAAUAUGUGUUCAGAAGAUGGCACUGCUGGUGCUAAAUAUAGUCGUGUUGUUACUGAACAAUGAAUUAGAAACCUGAGUACACACGGGUGAAAGGUCGCCUUCCAUUAUGUUGUCAUGUGCUGCACCAAAUACAUUUUCAGAUCCAACAUUAUGUGUAAUGUGUCCAUUCAUAUCGAUGUCAUUGGCUUGCGCUGCAUAUAGUAAGAUAGUAUAUGGAAAAUGAUGAAAUAGUAAAUCAAUAUGAUGGCAGUGGACAGUAUCUACAACAAUAUAAAUCAGUAAUUAAUUUAUAUCAAUAUAAAUCAGUAAUUAAUUUACUCCAGUCAUGGCAUGCAUAUGGAUGGCAAGAUGGUGUACUUACAAUCAAUAAUAUUGCGCAUCCUGAGAAUGAUUUCUUUGCUUUGUCGGACUGCCAAUUGAGUGCAGCUUCUCGGAUGUCAUCCACAACAGCCUUACACCAGUUCAGAGCUGGUAAGCAAGACAGAUCUCUAGUGAGGUAAACAUCCUUGCACCUAAUGUUGUUGUCGGUGCUUGGGAACAGAAGUUUGUUGCAUGCAAUGAUAAAGAAAAAUCUUAUUGCCAUGUCAUCAGUAAUCAUGCCAGACCCUAGCUCCAGAUCAUCCUUCAGGGUCUUCUGUAGAUGGCUAGCGUUCAGGUCGUGGGAUUCUUGUAAACCCAACAAAGUCUUGAAAGCAGAUAACGCCUUGGAUGCUUGAAUGUGUGUACUCAACACAAUAUCUUCACCACCUUCUGGUAAGUCAAGCACCUGCUUUACCAUGAACGGGGGUGACAUGGAUACCCUUAUCUUUUGCAACAUUCAGUACCAUGGUUUUGGGGUCUAGCCUGUCGAACAGGAACUUUAAUAGCUCUCUGCUCUCUAACCUCUCUGCUGCAACACAAAGGAGUCCACCAAAACCCAUAUCUUUGAUUCGCCUACGCUGCCAAAGUGUUAGGUGGUCGACAAAGGAGUUAAAUGUUGAUGGUGCACAUCGAACUGUAGGUGCGUGAGCAUACUUGACGGGGUUCUUGGCAAGCUGCCAAAUGAAGAUAUGAAAAGGCUGUAGUAAGUGUGAGUGGUGGAAGAAUCGGUUCUCAUAAUGUUUAUGUAUGUAAAUGAACCACAUGUCAAAAUAUAUUAAAAUGCCACGGUUGAGCAUUGGGCAGGCUGAAUCAGGUAAUUUACCACAAAAAUUGAAAAUGAAGUAAAUUGUACCUUGAAAGUAAAAAAAGAGAAGGUUGAUUUACUAUUGUACCUUGGAAGUUGCAUUGAUACACUGUUUCUUCGCUACUGGUUGCCUGGGUGGGGGUUCCAUGAAGGCAUCAUCAUCUUCAUUAACAUCACUCCGAGGGAGAUCCCUGUCGCUGCUUGUUUCGCCGUGCAACUGUUGCCCAUUUCUGGUCGGUGGUUUGAUAAUAUUAUUUGCAAGAUUUGCAUCUUGGCCACCAGGUUGUUGAGGGGGUGCUGUUGGUUGUGGUUGUGCAUCAGCUCCUGCAACUGGCUGUGCAUCGGCUGCCCCGGUGACCGCGCUAACAUCAAAGGUCCAUUCGCCUUGUGUGGUGCGGAUCCCAAAAGAUUUUAAUCUGCCCUGAAUUUUCUUCAUGUCCUGUUUUUUAGAAAGGAAGAUAUUAUUAUCCAUGAAACAAUGUAACAUGGAUAUUUGCAUAACCUAAUGUAUCUGUCAAAACUGCAGCAGGACAAACACCCUUUGCUGGAACUUCCAGUCUAUAUCCAAUAAAUAUUAAAAUAUAUGGUUAACUUACCACAUGAUAUAUGCAGUGAACAAAAAAAUGCAGAGACGACAUGAAUAUGAAGAAGUGGUAAAUUGUAUAUAUAUUUUGCAACCUAAUGUAGCAUUGAAACAGAGCUUCCAUGCUAUAACCAGGUGAAAGUAGUGUAAGUUUUUUCAUGCAUUGCAGUAGUAAACCCACAUAAUGUAAGUAUUGAAAUCUGACUAUGAAUGUACGACAGGCCAGCGUGGAUUUACUAUAAUAUUGGUGCACACGUAAAAAAAUGGCAAAAAGAAAUUGGAGUACUGUGUAACCUGGUAAUUGGAGUACUGUGGAUUUACUAUAAUAUCUAUGCUGUAACAAUGAUGCAUCAUUAAACAAAGAUAAUAUGUACAUUAAAAUAUAUGCUGCUGGAUAAUUACCAGGUGCGUACAGAUGAAUUAGCUGGAUGUUUUGGUGAAUGUCUUGCCUCAGGAGUAGCAACGUUGGUCCAAUCAAAUCUGCAACACAAGUCAGAAGGCCAUGGUUGUCAGUUGUAUUCAGUCAUAAGUCUAUUUUGGAUUUUCCAAAAAAAAAGAAUAGCCGCUUUUGCUAACUUAGUAGAUCCAACAACCGAUUUGUAAAGAGUCUGGUAACGAUGAUUUUUCAAGUCAGAAGCUUGACAGUACGCUGAAUGAAUUGAACUGACGAUCAGUGAGAUAUAUAUAGAAAAACUGAUCCGGAUAUCACCCUAAUGCAUCCCUUUUGUCUUCAUGGUAGUAGGUGUCCUGUCAGCAAUGUCAAUUAACCAUAUUCAGUAGCACUACUAACCGCCCAUGCGGUCCACACACACACACACACCUCUGGUAAUUUACUACAAGAACAGUUAGUUUACUGUAGCAAUGAUGCAUCAUCUCAAAAUACAUUAUGUACCUGAAAUAUGUGCUGCAGGGUAAUGUCCGAUACACUAGGCCAUUGUGUCUGAUCAACAAACGUUGCAAACACCAAAGGGACCCGAAAUGUCUGCGAAAAAAUACAAGUGACAACAUCAUAACCAGAUAGUACUGAAAAGGCAUUCGUUGUUAGCAUUCCACUAUUACCUACAGAAAGGUUAUGCCUCAGGCUCUCAUCACAUAGCCCAGACCCAUGGUUUGGAAAUUCAAGGAACUGCCUGAUUGAAGGAACUGGUUUGGGUUACUGGAUCAUUUGAUUCGAUUACACCAAAAUUCUGCCAAAUUCCGGAUGUAUACUGACGCAAUGAUGCAAACCCAAACGAGCAUCAGAACUAAUGGAAUGAGAGAGGGGGGAAUUGCGAGGGGCUUACCGAGGGGAGGCUCCUGGUGCGCUAGCGAAUGGGAUCGUCUCCGGCCGUCCAGCGGCGCGCCUGGUGCGCGACGGCAGCGGCGCGUCUGGUGGCGACGGAAGCGGGGCGUGGUGGCGACAGAAGCCGGCGAAGGCAGCAGUGACGAAAGCGGGCGCGUCUGGUGGCGACGGACACCGGCGACGGAAGGGCGCGAUGGAAAAAAGGCGUGAUUUCAGAGAACAUCAAAUCGGGAUUUGCGGUAGGGAUUGAUUUGGGCGCGAUUUCGGGCGGUGCAUCCUGGGAGCAAAAUCCCCUCCGAAGCGAUCUGCUGGGAACGGGAAUCGAGCGGUGGGGGCUGCGAGCCAUGGAAGGCGAGCCGCGCGGGAAGAGGAGCCGUGUAAUGCGAGCCGUGCAGGAACCGGUGCCAGGAAUAGUUGUGUUGGUGCGCCUGGUGGGAUGGUCCGGCCAUAGAAUUGGUUAUUCUGUUGCUGGCUCUUGAGAAACAUAUCUAUAUCUAUCUAUCUAUAUAUAUAUAUAUAUAUAUAUAUAUAUAUAUAUAUAUUCUGAAAAUGAAAAGCAUUUCUAGAAGCCGGCGAUGGCAUCACCCGCUCCCAAAAAUUAUUUAUAGGGGAGGGUGAUCCGCCUAACAUCCGACUUGAAAGUAAAGUACGAUGAAAAAGUAGAUUUGUUGUAUUGAUUGAUGUGUCUUUACAAAUCUCUGAAGAUGGCUAUUUAUAGCCUGUUACAACUAAUUUUCUAACCGACUAGGAUCUAUCUCUAAUUUUAAACAAAAAUGAAUAUUUACAAACAGAACUCGUACCGGAGUUGGUUAUCAUACUCCCACGGGCCAAUCUUUCUCUAUCUUCUUUUUCUGGCCCACCUUAAGCCCAUAUUGGCCCAAUCGCUCCAGCCUUCCAAUCGGCCGAUCCCCACCAACUCCGUCUGCCAAUCGCUCCAAACACUGUAGUGCCAAUCGGCCGAGUCCCAACUGUAGCGCCAAUCAGCCGAUUCCCAAUCGUAACCUUUUAAUCUGCCACAUCGGCCAAUCCUUUCCUCUCUUGAUAUCGAUCCAAAACGUGUCAAAAUCUGGCGUCAACACAUGCCCCCUAGUUUCGGAGUAAAACAUAACUUUUUACUUCAAAAUUCUUCUUUAACUUCCUCUCCAAAACAAACGCGGCAAAAAUCCCCUUCUGUUUCGCGGUCUUCUACCUGAUGAUUGCAAUCUCUUCGAACUGGGCACCUAAGACAACCGUUCUCCCGAAUAUCGUGUAGACGGCGUGGUAAAAAUCCUACCUUUACCCCUUCUCUCGGACCGUCUUUAAAUACCAGCGUUCUCUUUCUCUCCGGCGAAUCACUUUCUAUCUUCUCCUAGCGCCCCUUUCAUUUCCAGUCGCAUUCUCCAGCGAUCAUUCUUUCGUCUACAUCCCGCUUCAUUUUUUCUCAAUGGCGGCGCCAUCGGCAACUCCACCUGCAACGGAGGCUCCACCGGCAACUCCAUCAGCGACGGCAGUUCCAUCGGCGAUCGCAUCAGCAACGAUAAGCUUCAUUCCAGAGGUAAACAUCCGAAACUUUUCCUUUUUACUUUUUACCGCCCAUGUUUGUUUUAGAUCUAGUCUUAGUUCUUUCUCUUUUUGCCUUCCUUAGGCGGUCAGACAACAAAUCACCAUCCGCCUUUCCGACGCACCUGGUCUGAUCUGCUUAGGUCCUAUGGAGAACCCAGACCCGACUGAUCUGAUCAAUUUAGAAACCCAUAGAAUCCCUUUUAAGCAAUCACCUAUGGAUUUGAGCCAGUGGUCAGGCACUUCUAGAUCUUGGCCGAAUGAAACACCCGGCUGGAAAGAAUGGUAUCAAAGAAUGGCCAACUCCAAGAGAGUUCAAUGGGAUGAAUUAAAAAUAGGCUAGUGCAUCAAUCUAUCUUUGUCCCAGAUGGAGAAGAAUGAACCCUUGGUGAUAGCAGCUUCUUACUUUUGGUCUGACACACUCAAUGCGUUUCUCUUUGGGCACGGACCCAUGACCCCAACUCUGGCCGAUGUUCUGAUGUUGACCGGCCUCGAUAUUUCCUCCCCCGACACACCCUUUAAUAAUCUGAUCAAGCGGACCCAUCGGCUUUUCUGCAGCAGAGCAGUCGGCCCUUCCUCCAACACACAAGCUCUGGCCGAAGCCCUGGCAAGGGGAUCCACCAUCCCUCUAGGGAAACACUUGUUAGGAUGGGCCUAUCAUAUGAUGCACCAGAUCGGUGUCAAACUGUCAAAGGGUGAGCCGAUUGGUAAUCCUGGUGGUCCCUGGUGGUUCAUCACCCUCUGGCUCAACUUGUACAUGAGCAAGGUCUUCCAGCAGCAGAUAGAAACCAAGACAUUCCCCAACAUUGAGUCAGAGGAAAACCCCAUAGUACAACGACGGUGCACCUCUUUCGGCGAAGCGGCAUCGGCUUUCCCUGGUUGCUAGUUCACCCCCACCCAAACAGCUGAAUAUUUCAGAUGCUUCUACAACGGCUUUAGUGAAGAGACUACAAGUUGGUACCCAUACCAGAGAACGGAGCCUAUAUUUGAGCUGCCCUUCUGCUAUGACUUGACGUCCAACUCCUUUGACAAUGACCUCACAGAUGCCUUGAUUAAACUAGGGAUCUUACCAGCGAACUUCUUUUCUGGGAAGGACUCCCCAGCUUAUGAAUUUUAUAACCCGUCAGUUGCAGCACGGCAGUUUGGGCUUGGUCAGUUGCCGAUUCGGGUUUACUUUGCCGGCCGCGCAAAAUUUCGAGAUGCACUUACUAAGGGCCUCGACUAUAAUCGGUUGUGCGAUUUAGUACCUGAUUCCAGUACCAUUAAUCUGAACAAUUGGGUAGUGGUGGGCAGAAUGGAAGCAGCAUCUCUUUUGUGUAUCCCCUGCAACAUAUUGCAAUGAUCUGGAUCCUGACAACAUCAACCAAAACACAGCGGUACUGCUCUCUUCUUAGCCGAUUUCAAUGUCAUUCCCUUUUAUGCUACAAAUUUAUCACUAACUUUUAUCUCCUUUUUUUUGUCUAGAAGUCGACUUCCCCCAACGCGCAGCUGAAGUGGCAGACCAAUAGAAAACUGUUAUCCAUAUACAAUAUUUCCACUUAUCGGCUCUCAUGCCCCAACCAUUGGAGACAUCACCACUGGCCGAUCGAAACAGACGCUGAAGAUAACCUCUUCAAAGAAAACGAGCCGCUGGGUGCGUGCCCGCAUAGAAUCGGCCGAUCCAUCGGCGGUGGCAUCGUCUGAAUCCUUGGCUGCACCGACCCCACCGAUUGUCAAAGAAGUUGAUCCCCAGGCUGCUACAGAAGCUGGAGCAGCUGCUGCAUCAUUGUUGGUAGAAGCUAUUCAGGUAACUCCGUACACCUUGCAUUUUUCUAAGUAUCUUGUCGGUAUUAAUUUCUUCCUUCUGUUAGGCAGUGCUAAUCGCCCCAGUACAAUCUCCGCAGCAAUCGGCCACAUUCCAGGCAGAGGCCGGGACGCCAGCAAUCUCCCCUACUGAGGUAGAGAAAAUCUGUUCAAAUCAAAUUUCUCAAUCCUUAAUCAAAGAUUUAACCGACUUAUGAUGCAGGCUACCCUGGAUACAUCAAUCGUAUCCUUUCAACAGCCAACGGCCGAACGACUCACGGAGGUAUAGUAAUCGUUAUUUGUCAUCAGUCUUAAUCACUUGCCUCAUACUUAUACAGAUCUGCCUCUUGAUCCUUUCCAGGAAGCCGGCCUGAGCACGGCACCGAUAAUCGUCGAAUCCUCUUCCUCUAAUGAACCAGUCACGCCAAUUCCCGAGAUGAGGGUAGCACUCCCACCGGCGCAAGCAGAAGAGAUUCGUUUUAAAGAGGUAAGAAACUUGACACCCAAAUCGGCCGAUUUCCUAUUACCGGCGGCUAAUCCAUAUUUUUAUUAUUUAUUCUUUCUCAGGAGCAAGAUACUCCCAACAAUAGUCUCUUUUAUUUUGCGGUUGCACUUUAUGAUGAUGAAGAGGUUGCCUCACACCAAGUCGCACUGAGCUCGAUCCCUGAUGAUGUCCGUGCCAAACUUGAGAGCAUACGGACCCUCCUCCAAGACGAUAUCGGCCGACUAGUGGAAGACGCCUCGCCGAUUCAGCAGCUUCUCAGCGAAAUCAGAGGCCGAGUUCCAGAAGAGGCAGAAGAGGCUCUGGCACCCGCCACAUACAUUGAGUCAAUACGGAUUCCAGUGUUCAGGGCCUUGCGCCACAUGGCCGAUCGCGCCAAAUUAGCGAAAGCCCGCGAGGAGGAAGAUUCCUACAAACAUCGAGCGCAAGAGGUACAUCAACGAAUCAGCUUCCUUGAAAGCUCUCGCCCAGAUAUUGUUGGCACCAUAGAUCGCCUUAAACGGCGAAGGGCAGAGCUUGCCAAGGAGAUGGAGUAGGUGACCAAGGCCAUAGCCGCCGAAGAGAAGAGACUCCAAGACCUCCCAUCGGUCACGUCGAGCUGAAGCAGGAGAGGCAGAACCUGGCCCAUGAAGCAAUCAAACUUCACCGUCAUAUGCCAGAAGUUCCUGGAUCGGCUGAUGACGACUAGAGGACUUUAGACUCGGCUGAUCAGGUUAGGCAGCAAGCAAUUGUAGCCAUUAAUGCCCUCCUUGGGUGAAUUGUAAAAACACUGAAUGCUCUGUGUAAACAUUUAAUGUUCUUUUGCCGUUGACGUGCGGAUUCAAACUUGGACCAUCCUCUAUGGCAGCUUCUUCAUUAAAUUACCUUUUACUCAGAUGGGACGCGUCUUACCAACCCUUCAUCUUUUCUUUCUAUAAGUAUGAGACUUUCGUAUUGCUUUCCAAAGGCAUUCACACCUCGCCCAUCCUCUUGACUCCCACACUCUUAGACUAAGCAUCGAGAUGUCUUCUCCUUCUUCUUCCUUCUCCGUCGACCAGGUGCGAAAUCCCCCACUAUUCCCUCGCCUGACAUUUAAAUCAAUCUGGUGACGAGUAGUUUUUGUUUUGCUAUUUUUUCAGCCGAGACGCCUUAGUCCUGGCCUGGAACGAGCCAUCGAGGUUAUGCACUCGGACGAACCGCUGACGCAGGCGGAUAGAGAUCUGAUCAGGACUUAUCACGAAAAACUCAAGGAUCAUAUCCCUCCUCAUGUCCAAAAGAUCAUGGACCAUAUGGACGCCAACUGCUCCGGGCGGCCACUGACUGAAAGGAGUCAUCCGUUUCCUCGUUAGGUCACCUUUGAGGAUACCAUGGCAGGGACAUCCCGACCGUUGGUCGACAGAAGCCACCAACCUCCUCGUCAAGUUGAGGUUGAAGCCGCCAUGGAGGAUCGAGAGGUAGAUUAAGAAAAAAUGUGGUCAAUGAAUGUAUUGGUACUUUUUAAUCUAAGGGCGACUUGUACCGUGUCGGCCAUGUAUCCUAUUGCUUGUACCGAAUAAUAAAUCGGCCAGACUAAUCAAAUGUUUUGUCCUCAAGGCGAUGUUAUCUUUGCAUCGGCUAUAUAAACACGAGUCAAUAGGAGUCGGCCACAUCUCGACACUCCAUAUCGUCGGUUAUGCAUCUACCCAUAUGCUGGGGUAAUACCUCUUUAGAUAUCUUCCAUUUAAAGCUCUUGUGAAUUCCUCUCCUUCGAUAGUUUCCAGUAUGUAUGCAUUUCCCGGGGCGCAUCAGCCGAUUUUAUACAGCCCCUCCCAAGUAGGUUACCAUUUACCGAAUUUGGGAUCAUUAGAUCCUAUCGACAGCACCAACUUCCAUACCAAAUCCCCUUGGGCGAAUUGCUUGACUUUGACCUUCUUGUCAUACCACCUGGCCACUCUCUUCUUAUUUUCCUCAAUGCUGAUCAGGGCCCUUAAACGCUGACCCGCCAAAUCGUUGAGCUCCCCUUUCAUGAGGAGGGAAUAAUCAUCGGCCGUCAACUGAUCCUGAAGCGAUGUGCGCCUUGACCCCGUCCUUAAUUCCUAAGGUAAUACUGCCUCGUGACCAUAUACCAACUGAUAAAGAGAUGUUUUAGUGGCCUCGUGGCAGGCCAUCCUGUAAGCCCAUAAAGAUUCAGUUAAAGAUAGGUGCCACUUCUUAGGUUGUUCUUCUAUCUUCCUCUUGAUCAACUUGAUUAUCCCCUUAUUGGACGAUUCGGCCUGACCGUUAGCUUGGGCAUAAUAUGGAGAAGAAUUCAACAAUUUAAUCCCCAUAUCGGCGGUGAACUCUUCAAACUCUCCUGAGGUGAACAUCGUCCCUUGAUCAGUCAUGAUGGUUUGAGGGAUACCGAACUAAUAAACAAUAUGGUCCCUUAUGAAAUCGACCACAGCGGCCGAUGUCACAGCCUUCAUGUUGGGAUACGAGGUAGGCUACACUAGCGCAAAUCAAAAAAUUUCUACCGCGUAAACAAGGAAAACUAUUGUAUAAGGAUCACGGGAUUACCACUCGACGCACUGGUGCGGAAGAAGUAGAAUCGUGUCGGGGCAGCGAAGUCGAUCAGCGUAGUCGAACAUAGUCGAUCACGUCGAUGUCGAGCAGCUCCUCAGCAGCUCGUCCACGUGCAGCAAGAUCGUCUUCGUGCCGCGGCUCAUCGUCGGCUCAUCAUGGCUCGUCGGCAGCUCGUCGUGGCUCGUCGGCGGCUCAUCCAAGUGCUGCAAGCGCAACACCUCCAAGGUAUCCACACGUGCAGGGAGGAAGCGUCGCAAGCCGGACUGCUAGGUCUGCGAGUUGUAACACGCGAGGGCGUGGGAGACGCGGCAGAUGUGUUUCGCCAAAAGGUAUAAACCCUAGGGCACCCCCACCCCUCUAUUUAUAGAGGUUCCUGACGGGCCUCUGGGUCCGAGGCCCAUUAGUACUUCUAAACCUAGUCCAACUCGGAUCAUAUCCGAAUUGGGCUUCAAGCCCCUUAAGUGUAUGACCCUAUGGGUUCGGAUACGUAUAGACAUGGCCCGAGUACUCCUACUCGGUCCAAUAGUCGAUAGCGGCCUCUAGCAAGACGUGCAACCUCCCAUACACACACAAAGAUCAUAUCAGACAAACCGUCACAACAUUAUGUACAUGCUAUUCCCUUUGCCUCACGAUAUUUGGUCUAGCUCCAAGCCGACCGCUCUUUCUCGAUCCUGUGAUUCGGAAUUCCUUUGUAGGUUAACUCUUAACCGUACGUAGCAUGGCCAUGCAUUUUCGGAUCCGAUCACUCGAGGGGCCCAGAGAUAUCACUCUCAAUCAAAGAGGGCCAAAUCCCAUCUUGAUUGACCAUGUCUCACAGCAUGCUUCUUGACAAACCCAAAAGCUACCUUUUUAACUACCCUAUCAUGGUGUAGCGUUUGAUAGCCCCUAAGUAAGUCGAUCCAUAUCUUGAGUACAUGCGACAAUCUCAGGUCUAAGGGCAAAGCGUACAUGUUGUGUAAAGAGAGAACUACUUCUUGUGUUGGGUCAGUCCUAACACAUGUCUCCACAUGUGCCCACAUUAUUAGUUUAACAUCUCCAUGUCCAUGACUUGUGAAACAUAAUCAUCAACUAAUACAUGUGCUAGUCUAAUAUUCAUGUGUAUCCUCACAUGAACUCCGACUAAGGACAACUUUAGAAUAACCAUACAAGUAAAGAGUUUCACAUACAAUUCACAUAAUUGCAAAUCAAUUCAAGUAGCCUUUAAUGGAUAUUCAAUGAACACAAUAUACAAAUCAUGGAUACAAAUGGAAUAUCAUCAUCUCUAUGAUUGCCUCUAGGGCAUACCUCCAACAGUCUCCCACUUGCACUAGAGUCAAUCUAGAAGGUAUCUAAUACCCAUAGCUCUUACAUGCGCAUCAUGCUUAGCCUGCGGGAGUGGUUUUGUCAACGGAUCAGAAAUAUUCAGAUCCGUGUGUAUUUUGCAUGUCUAGGCGUGGUGGAGUAGUUUUACCACCGGUCGGUUAAGUCUUGUUGAGCUCAGCAGCUCAGCCUUGUUUGUGGCUCUCUUUUCAGGUGAAGUCGCAGCUCCUGAGUUUGCUCCUGUUGGCACUUGGCCACCCCAGCUCCCUCCAGGUUGGAUGGUCGAGUGGGAUCCCUCCUCGGACGGCGAGGAAAGGGAUCACUGAUGUCCUGAUCGGCCUCAUCAGGGACAUCCGACCCCGGCGCUAGCUUCGACUAUUUUACCUUUCCGCUGCUUUUUUAUCUUGUAAAACUCUAACUUUUGUUUUGAUGUUGAACUAAAUUGUCAAACUUGUUUAACUCGGUGCAUCUAUUGUAUUCUCUGGAACACUUCACUUUCGUGUGAGUUUUGCUAACUCGGUCCUGUUAAGUGGUUUAAUCGGAGGAAAUCCGACGGCACCUUGAGUUAACUCGAUUAAGGCAUGAGUGUCGCGUGUCAGACGACUUAACCGUGCUUUAAUCAAGGUAAUCCGAGGUGGUUCCGCCACAGCUUCUUGAUGUCAACUUCUGCUGUCUUGAGCAUACCACACAGUUCAUUCAGACCCUUCUCCGUCCCAUGCAUAUGAUAGUUCGAGAUGAUGUUCCCAUAGCUAGGUGGAAGAGAUGAAAGAAUGAAGUCAGUGGCCAACUCUUUGCCCAUUGGGAAGCCAAGCUUCUCCAAUCGCUGAGUGUAACCAACCAUCUUUAUUACAUGUGGUCCUACUGCUGAGCCUUCUGCUAGCUUGCACUCCAGAAAGGCUUUGGACACAUUGAACCUUUCAGUCCUAGCCUGUGUCUAGAACAUGUCCUUGAGCACCAUGAUCAUAUCGUGCACCUCAUGGUUUGUUUCAAACUGCAUCUGCAGCUCGAGUUCCAUGCAAGCAAGCAUAAGGCAGCUUACUUCAAGAUUAGCAUCAAAUGCCUUCUUGUAAGCAGCCUUAACGGCAGCAGAUGCAUCAUCAGCAAGUACUUGUGGUAGUGGGGUGUCUAGAACAUCUUCUUUUUUAUCGGCCCUGAGAACAAUUCUCAGGUUACGGAUCCAAUCCGAGUAGUUUGUUCCCUUCAACUUGUCCUUCUCAAGGACCGACCGCAAAGCAAAUGGUGUGGUGUUGCUAGGUGCCAUUUAAUCUACAACAAAAGUAAUGCAAAAUACACUAAGACAAACAUAUCCAUGAUAGAGCAAAUGAUAUUAAACUAUUUAACAGAAUCUACUCCCACUAAAAUCAAUAUCCCUCUAUUGAUACUUGGUGAUUCAAGAUCCACAACUAACAAGUCUACUAGUGAGCUUUAGCAUCACCGCUAGCAAACAAGGUAGAUCAGUAAGCAACUUCUUGCUAAUCAUAUCACAUAUGACUCCUAUUGUUGGGUGACAUCUCCAUGUCUCGGCGCCCAACCUUUAUGCCCCAAGGUCCUUAACCGUUAAGAUAACCUUGUUAAGCAAACCAACUUUUAUGCGUGUAAGUGUCCACCAAUUGUACAAGACAUGGGACGGUGCAAGUUUUAGUUGGGAGGGCAUACUAACUUAAACUUUGUGAGGGAUCGUUCUACUUCUAACAUCACAGCAUGCAGAAAGUAAAACAUAAAGAAUAGCAUUCACACGGUUGUGACACAGUAUUGCCCGUUUUCUUAUGGUGAUCUCCAUCUCCACAGAACCUAUUCACCAUGGUGAUCUCCAUCUUCAUGUUCCAUGUGCGCCGCUUCUCUUAGCCGAUUCCGAUGUCAGUACCUUGGUUUGAAGCACGUUUCUUCCCGCAUCAACCAUGUUAGUAGGGAAAGGAUGCCGAUCAAUCUUCAUUGGCUUUGCUGGCUUCGCCAGGACUUCGAAUUUGAGUCUGCCUUGCUCAAUGGCUGACUGUAUCUGCUGACGGAAGAUUUUGCAUUCGUUUGUGUCGUGAGACGUGGCAUUGUGCCACUUGCAAUAUUUCAUCUUUUUGAGCUGCUCGGCCGAUGGAAUGGUGUGGUAAGGUGAGAGCUUGAUCUGCCCCUCUUGGAGAAGUAAAUCGAAGAUCUUGUCGGCCUUUGACGUGUCAAAACCGAACACUUCUGGUUCUUUCUUCCCGAACGGGCGUGAUAUCGGCGUUUUCCCUUUUACCCAUUCUACUAGGCCGAUUUCCGCUUCCUCUUCAGACUCAGAUCCUUCCAAGUAUACCACCUUCUUCUGAAAAUUCCUCCGUUGGUCGAAAGGGCGUAUUUCUUGACCGGCCAAUCGGUGGAGAUUUGACUUAAGUUGUCAAACCCCUGGAGGCUUACUUCUCUUUGAUGUGUGGCAGGAGACCUUGGAAGGCGAUAUCGGCCAGCUGAGCGUCGGUCAGAACUAGGGUGUAGCAUUUGUUUCUGACCUCUCUGAACCUUUGCACGUAAUUGGUCACUAGUUCGUCGCUCCUCUGCCUGAGGCUGGUCAAAUCUGAGAGCUUCAUCUCGUGGACUCCCGUGUAGAAGUACUUAUGGAACUGCUUCUCCAGAUCGGCCCAAGUAACAAUGGAAUUGGAUGGUAGCGUAGUGAACCAUUGGAAAGCCAACCCGGAUAGGGAUGACGAGAACAGUCGUACCCGCAGAGCAUCUUGUGUGGCGGCCUCUCCGCAUUGGAUGAUGAAUCUAUUUACGUGCUCCACAGUUGAGGUGUCAUCCAGUCCCGAAAACUUGGUGAAGUCAGGAAUUUUGUACCGAUAGGGAAACGGCAGUAGAUCGUAGGCAGGUGGGUAUGGCGUCUUGUACGUAUAGGUUUGUACCUUCGGCUUCAACCCGAAUUGGUCUUGAAUCACCUCCGCUAUCCUUGUUGUCCAAUCCACUUGCUGCUGAUGAACAACUGGUUGAGGGAUCAGCACAUGUUGAUGGAUCGGCAGCGGGAUGGCCGGGUGAUGGAUCAAAGCGUGCGGCGGAUUUUGUGGCAGCGUGGCCGGCUAAGCAGUUGACAGUUGGUGGCGUAGCGAAUCUGCCGUUCUAUCGUACAACAUCAUUGGCGCCGCGCUUCUGAGUGUUUCCGUAGUGUCUGCUCCCCUGCCGAUCUCUGAUGAGGCCGGUUGAUAUUGUGGGACCGUCGGCCGGAUAGCCGAUUGGAAUGGUGCUUGAAUCGGAGAGCUUCCGUAACCGGUUGAUUGGUCCAAACCAGCCACCAUCGCUGGUGCCCCCCACGGUACUGAGUUUGAGGGCAGUGAUUGCAUGGGGAAAACCUGGGUAGGCUGAGGCGGCGCUUGCGAGUGAAAGCAUGGCGCGCCGUUGUAUCCUGGAGGCAUUGAAGUGUUGUAUCCUCUAUGUUGCAUUGGUAUCGGCUGAGGAGCUGAGUGAGAUAUGCCUGGUAGGCUUCUGACUGGAGCUACAAUGGGCGGUACGCCGGCCCCUAAUACCCCUAUGCUACUCCGCUGACCAGGGAACUGAUGACGGCAUUGUUUACCGUGUUGGUCAUCACUGAAGAUUGGUCGAUGAAAGCCUGGUAGACGGACUGCUGAAUCAUAUCGGACAUCUUGCCCGAGUCCUCAGCGAUGGUGAUUAGGCGGGGAGUUGGACGAGGAGCUUUCUUGAUGGUUUCCCCACUUCUGGUACGACUGAAAGAUUGCAAGCAUGUCUUCCUUUAUUCUUCUAGGUGUCUUGCCAAUUCUUCUUUCUGGUCGUCCUUGAGAUCUGUUUCUGUAACCUCGAUGACGUUGUCUUCGGAGAUUUCAGCGGCUUUUGACAUGUUGGAUGUUGUGUUGGUCCCACCAAGCAUGCCAAAAGUGUGUUGGCGCUAAAAACCAGCCGACGGUCUUCAGCGUCGGACACACGACCUGGGAGAAUCUGCUUAACUCCUGUUCCGGUUAUCGCCCUGGUGCGGUUCACGCGGUGUGCCAGUCAAUCUGACCUGUUGAUUGACAAGGAAAUAAAGAUAUGAAAUUCUAGGGGCUACGAUCAGCUAGAGUUCUGAUUUGCUUUUAAAGCGAGUCGGCGAAUCGGCCGAUUCACUGCAGAGAUAAUCGGCUUAGUAGAAUAGCCGAUACCACGUAGUGAUUGCGAAGUAAAACCACUAGAGCAGACCAACAACGCUACAAAUGCAACACUUGAAAUAAAUCUAAUCGGCUAUAUGGCGAUAAAUAAGAAUAACAAUAAUGAAGUCGACAGUUCAAAUCUCAAGCUGGAUAACUGGUGAUAAAAACUAGAGCAAUAGAUAGAACCUAUAAUUCUAGUUAAUAUCGAUAACUGGUGAAUAAAUCUAAACGAAACAAUAGCGAUGCGCCCGAAGUUAAAGCUUAGAUAUUACUCGAUAAGCGGAACUUACAGAAUCGGCCGGAGAUCGUGUCGAUGCAGCCCUGCCAACCCGUAUGAACUCAUGAAAGAAAAAAUGUAUUGGCGAAGUCGCCGACUUGAAAGUAAAGUACGAUGAAAAAGUAGAUUUGUUGUAUUGAUUGAUGUGUCUUUACAAAUCUCUGAAGAUGGCUAUUGAUAGCGUGUUACAACUAAUUUCCUAACCGACUAGGAUCUAUCUCUAAUUUUAAACGAAAACGAAUAUUUACAAACACAACUCGUAUCGGAGCUGGUUAUCAUACUCCCACGGGUCAAUCUUUCUCUAUCUUCUUUUUCUGGCCCACCUUAAGCCCAUAUUGGCCCAAUCGCUCCAGCCUUCCAAUCGGCCGAUCCCCACCAACUCCAUCUGCCAAUCGCUCGAAACACUGUAGCGUCAAUCGGCCGAUUCCCAAUCGUAACCUUUUAAUCUGCCGCAUCGGCCGAUCCUUUCCUCUCUUGACGUCAAUCCAAAACGUGUCAAAAUCUGGCGUCAACAGAAUGAUAUAGUGUAACCGGGAUAAAAUUUAGGAAACAAACUUUUGCAUAGAGAUAAAGGUAUAGAAUUAUUACAAGCCUAGCAUGUCUUGCAUGUCUCGGUACUCCAUCGGAUCUUUCGUCAAUAAAUCAAAGACAGUAACGUGGCUUCUUUCAGACUCAAUUAUAAUGAGGAUCCAGUGGAAACUGCGUACGUAAAUGUUCAUACAUAUUACAGCUAACUAACAUUAAUCAGGUAAGGAAAAAGAAAACGAAAGUAGACGGUAUACACACACUUACUUGAAGUUGUAUGGAAGUAGUAUGAAAUCCUUGAAUUUUUGUUUGUCUAGGAAAUUGUAUACUUCCACCAAGGUUUUUUCCGGCGAUACCUGUAUCUGUUUUUGGUUCACUAUGGAUGGAUCCAUGAAGCCAAUAUGGAGGUACGCUUCUUGUCGGCACGUCUAAAUUAGCAUCCUACAUAAAAUGGAAGACAAAGUUAGUACGGUAAUGCACGCAAAAAAAUAAUGAUAUGAGCCAAAAUUUACAUGUAGAUAAACAGACACUUACAGAACCCAGGCGCCGAUCAAAGAGACGUCCAGGGCAUCAUGAUGGUACACUUUGUAUAUAUCCUUGAAUUCUAGCCACAGAACUUUCUCGCCUUCGCUGUAAAAAUCUAUCAGUUUUACCUUAAGGCCGAACAUCUCCCUCAAGUCGGCGGAUACCUUCAUGUACCAUUGAUGGAAUUUGUACAUAUUUGUUGAAAGCUUCCGUACCAACUCAGGCCUUACUAGAGACUUGCCUAGCUCAAAGGUCCAUCUCGGUUCAACUGGCGGUGCAGCUGGCGGCUCAACUUGCCCUAGACAUUCAUCAAGUCCCAUACCUGUUUCUUCCAUGAAUUUCAAUACUUGUGCUUGUUGAUCCAAGGGCAUUGCUGCUAUCUUUUCAGCGUCUUUCUCUGGUAGAUGCCCGAGGUCGGGGACAACACCAUUGGAAGAUGACUUUCCUUUCCUUUUGUCCCUCUCAUCAGCCUCGACUAACGCCCAUUCGUAGUUCAAUAGUAGUGGUAUCCUCUUCUUGGCUCCUUCUUCCAUCCUGAUAAAAAAACUUAGUUCUCUUCGUUUUACUGACGGUGGCUCUAUCUCCCUUGCCUUUUUUUCGGCUUGUUUCUUGAACCACUCACUGGCCUCUGCUUGGAUUUCGGCCCACUGUUCCGCAUGAGUCAUUGCCUCCCAACGUUCCUUAUGAGUCACUUCAGGCUCCUUUCUUUUCUUCUUUCUCUAUCUUGGCUUGGGAGGCAGUGGUCGCGACUUCUUAAGUGGUGCUGCAGGUUCCUUCCUCGGGGCUGCGCUUAGUCCCGGCGACGGUGAUCGGGGAGGGGUGUUGUUAUUGUCGUCGUCGCUCCCACCACCAGGAUGUGGUGGAGAUAGAGACCUUGAUCAAGCAGGAAGCGACGGUCCUGAAGCAGGUUGUGCUGGAGAUGACGGUCUUGAGCUUUGAGAAAAUGGUCGCUACUGGGGAUCUGCGGGCCGAUAGAUUAGAUGCUUCACUAUCGACGGUCACCUAGGUAAGAUAUGUAUAUACGAAUGCACCACGUCAAAUGGAUGGAAGUAAAUAAGCGAAAAUAAGAAUGCCCGUCGUCAGUGCUUGCCGCUCUGCCAUCGUACAAGUUCAACGUGGGCGCUAGUGAGUCCAGAUGCAAUGCAAGGUGCUGCGAUCCAACAGAUAGACUGGUGUUACAAAUCCUAUUUGGCAGUGAUCAAAAGUUGCAAACAGCCAAGUUUUCGUGGUCAGGCAUCUGACUGGCACAUCAUAAGCUUGUCCUGUUGUUUUUUUUUUCGAAUAAGCUUGUCCUGGUUGCUCAGCUCAUAAUUCAGGAAUUGAUGCUUGACAGUGAGUGUCAUCGUGUGAGCUGUCGGUAAUAGUGUUGCUCGAUUUGAGGGCUUGUACAUGCUCCACGUGCAAUGCAGGUCAAAAGAAAAAAAAAAUUGUGCUAGCAACAAUAGCCUUUGUACAUGUUUUGUCUGCGGCGGGAUGUACGGUAGGGCGCCCGUGUGUGAGCACAUGCAAAUGCCUCCCCUUGGAUCCGACUGGUAGAUUUCUGUACUAACCACUGAUGGCAACAUCAUAGCGCGUGAACCACGAGGGCAGGAACAGUGACCUGGCCAAGUAAGGUGGGCGCUCAGACAUCGUGCAUUAAGUCUGAGGUGACGACUCUCUGCUUUAUUCCUGUUCGAUUGAAUUUUCAAAGAGAUUAUUUGAGGCCUCGUUGGGUUCCUCUGACUUAUUUUUAGCACUCGUUACAUCGAAUGUUUAGAUACUAAUUAGGAGUAUUAAACGUAGACUAUUUACAAAACUCAUUACAUAAGUGGAGGCUAAAUGGCGAGACGAAUCUAUUAAGCCUAAUUAGGCUAAAUGGCGAGACGAAUCUAUUAAGCCUAAUUAAUCCAUGAUUUGACAAUGGUCUGGUUUGGUUCGGUUGCUUAUUUUUAAGCACCCGUCAUAUCGAAUGUUUAGAUACUAAUUAGGAGUAUUAAACGUAGACUAUUUACAAAAUCCAUUACAUAAGCGGAGGCUAAACGGCGAGACGAAUCUAUUAAGCCUAAUUAGUCCAUGAUUUGACAAUGUGUUGCUACAGUAAACAUUUGCUAAUGAUGGAUUAAUUAGGCUUAAUAGGUUCGUCUCGCCGUUUAGCCUCCACUUAUGUAAUGGGUUUUGUAAAUAGCCUAUGUUUAAUACUCCUAAUUAGUAUCUAAACAUUUGAUGUGACACUUGCUAAAAAUAAGCAAAGGGAACCAAACGCCCCCAAUGUGUUGCUACAGUAAACAUUUGCUAAUGAUGGAUUAAUUAGGCUUAAUAGAUUCGUCUUGCCGUUUAGCCUCCACUUAUGUAAUGGGUUUCAUAAAUAGUCUACGUUUAAUACUCCUAAUUAGUAUCUAAACAUUCGAUGUGACACGUGCUAAAAAUAAGCAAAGGGAACCAAACGCCUCCUAAGUUCGUUCAACUUCUACAGUGGUUCAUUUCACGCGUAAAUUCAGGCCCCUGGUUGGACCUCGAGUAAACUUAGAAUGAACCACUUGAUAAGUUGAAGGACCCAUAUGGGAAUGCUGAAAUAGUUUAAGAACCCAUGAUGCAUGCAUUUCACUCUUUCUUUCAACAGUUAAAUAUGCAUCCAUCGGCCAUGCCUGGAUUUAUUACAUAAUGUAGCAUUUCUCAUCUAACUAUUACCGUAAGGUUUCCAUACACUGCACAAGACAAACCUUCAUGAACUCUUGAUUGCUUUUUGAAACGCUGAAUGCACGAUCGUUAUUAACAAUGAGAUAUUUGUUAGUUCUGGUGCUAACAAGUAGGCCUAACCAUGAUACAGACCCAAGCAGGAGAUAAAAGGAAUAAGAAAAAUAGAAGAAAUGGGUAUUUCCUAUUGGCAUAAAUUCAGAUAGCUGAAGCAAAAGAUAUGUUAACCCUGAAUAAACAAUGAUAAUAAAUUAUGCUAAGCAACCAAAAAUUAUAUGCAGCAGCAUGAAUGUAACAUACAAAAUAUAACAUAUUCUUUGAAUUUAAUUUAGAAAACAAUUAUUUUACUACACUAAAUAUCUUGAUAAUACUAUAAUUUUUCUAGAAUUAAAUAAAACUAGAAAAUAUUGCUUUAAUUUACCGUUAUCAUUCACAUUCCAAAAUAAUAAAUUUUGGGGUGUGACACUAACACAUCUGACGUUGCUGCAAAUUAUGAUAAUGAUGCACCAUGUUAUUCAUUGCUUUGCAGAGAUAUUUUCUUUUGACAUGGUCCUAUAUAUGUCUUGCCAUUUGCUUCCUGCUGUCACCAACCUUGUUUAGGAAUGGAAUGAUGAGAUGGAGUUGAGAGGACGAUUGCAAUUCAAGAAGGGGAGGAUGAUGAAAACGUGAACACACUGGCUGCGAACGAUCCUGCGUCAGUGUAUACCGUCGGUGCUUGCCGUUAUUCUGCCAUUGUAAAAGUGAACCGUGGGCUCUUGUGAGUGUCCACAUGCGUCAGUGUCUUUUUGGUCAGGCAUCCGUGUGGCACAUGGUAAGCCUGUCCUGGUUGCUCAGCUUGUCUGUCUUUGUCUGUGACAGGCGCCAGUGUCUGAGCACAUGCAAUGGCUCAGACAUAGCUUUUCUGCUGGCCGACACUUGUAGACGGCCGACACUAGCCUUAAUAAAAAAAUUUCGGUUGUUUUUGAUUUAGAAUAAAAGUAAUCUUCAAUAAAAAGCUCGUCUUAGUUCAGAUUGAUGAACUAAAACCUCCCUAAGCUAAUACCAAUCAGAACUAAAGAUAUGGCUAAAUAAAGAUAUGGCUUAAAGAUCUAGGAUUAAAGGCUGAGACCUUUAGUCCUGAAUAAUUAAUCUCGAUUUGGAAAACUGAAAUAUACAAGGUUUGCCAACCGAAACUCUCGUUUCUCGACCAAUGUCAUGACAUUUUCUGUGCUAGGCCGGGACGACUGUGCCUGACAAUGACAAUAACAUCGCAUGCAAUGCCCCAUCAAGCUAGCUCACAGAAACGCGCAGGCUACCUGUUUUAUUUCUGAUGAUGUGUUCAGUAGUGUUCUAACAUUUUUGUAUUAUAAAUGAUAGAUGCUUGCUGGUGCCUGACAAUGACAGUAACAUUAUUGCACGCUGAUCAAGCUGGCAGAGUGACUGAGUGGGCACAUGUAACUUGCUGCCCUCGAUGUGACCGGGAGCAGCCUCUCUAUGAAUUAUUGGUCCAUUAGCAACCGGAAUCUUGAGAAGAAAUACCAAGGUCAAUUGAGGACACACGGUAAUAACGAUCAACUGUUUGAAAAGAUGAACAAAUAGAAGCUCAGAUGGAUUGACAGCUACCCACGUAAAAGCUCAUCCAAUGUAUGGUUAGAUGUGCAUGAACAAAUACGUUUUGAACCGCACCUAAAAAUCUUUAUUUUUAGGGCAUCCUAACCCUACUAGAAAACAAGACAUCGAUCCUCAACAAAAAUUUCGGUACGAAUUGACCCGGAACUAAUACUGAUUCCGGCUAGUAUUAGUCUCGGAUCUAAAAUUUCAUAGUUCUAGAAGGCCUUUCAGCCCUUUAGUGCCAAACGGGACUAACACCUACCUUUAGUGCCGGUUUGUAAUACCACCUUUAGUGCCGGUUUGUAAUACCAACCCGGGACUAAUGCUUGCAACAUAAUCCUUAAGUAGAGACACUUUUAUAUAAAUACUUUACAAUUUGCGCGUGACUUGUGACUUGCGACGUGCGCGUGUGUGGGGGAGCCUCCUGGGAAUUUCUAAUAGUUUUUAGCGCAAAACCGUUUAAUCCCGAUUAGUAUUACCAACUGGAACUAAAGAUAUGACUUUAGUCCCGGGUGAAAUACUUGGGACUAAAGGCCACGAUCUUUAAUCCUGAAUGAUUAGUUUCGAUUGGAAAAAUCGAGAUAUAUGAGAUUUUCCAACCGGACUAUGCUCGUUUCUCUACACAUUUUCAUGCUAGGUCGGGACGCCGGACGACUGUGGCUGACAAUGACAAUAACAUCGCAUGCAAUGCCCCACUUCAUAGCUUGUCUUCUAGCCACGUCAUACCGCAGGAACCACGAGGCGACGACUCUGCUUUAUUCCUAUUUCUUUCAACAGUUAAACAUCCAUCGGUCUAGGGGCGUUUGGAUCCCCGGGCUAAAUUUUAACCCCUGUCACAUCGAAUAUUUAACACUAAUUAGGAGUAUUAAACAUAGGCUAAUUACAAAACCAAUUUCACAACCCCUAGGCUAAAUCACGAGACGAAUCUAUUAAACCUAAUUAGUCCACGAUUUGACAAUAUGGUGCUACAGUAACAUUCGCUAAUGAUGGAUUAAUUAGGCUUAAUAGAUUCGUCUCGCGAUUUAGCCUGGGGUUCUGCAAUUAGUUUUAUAAUUAGCUCAUAUUUAGUCCUCCUAAUUAGCAUCCGAAUAUCCGAUGUGACACGGACUAAAUUUUAGCUUCAGGAUCAAACACCUCCUAAGUACCUGGAGUUAAACAGUGGGCAUGGUAGGUGCUCAGCCAUCGCACGUGUCGAAGAACGUGCGUGGUCUUAGCUAGUCUCCUAGAGGCAAUAUAAUCAGUCACCGGAAACUUUUAUUGCACAGCUCAGCAAGCUCAUCUUGUUUGCCAACAAGUAGAGCAAGCGAGCACAGCGCGACGCACACAUCCAUUGCGAGCAUGGAGAGCCGAAGCCUCCCCAUGGCAGCAGCCACCUCCAUGUCUGUAGCUAUCGCCAUUGUCUUCCUGAUCUACACAGCCGCACCACUGGGAGACGCGGCAUCCGUCGAGCACACGUUCAUUGUAAGUAUGCAUGAUGCUGUUUCCUUCCCUUUGAUCGAGCUCUCUAGCGACAAUCACAUAUAUAACAACCCUUCAUGCGCCAUUAUCCACGCACUUAUGCUUGAUUUCCUUGAUCGUGUACACAUGUAGGUGAAUCAGACGAAGAUGACGCGCCUGUGCAAGGAGACACAGGUCACCGUGGUGAACGGGCAGCUCCCAGGGCCAACCAUUGAGAUCACAGAAGGAGACACGGUGACUGUUCAUGUCAUCAACAGGUCACCUUACAACAUGACAAUCCACUGGUAAGCUACGAUGGCAUACCAAUAAGUUCAUCCAUUUCAGAGGAUAAAGCUAUAUAUGGCACUGCUUAUAAGAAACGGCUAAGGUGGACCGUGCAUUUUGACGUCUAGAUUUUUUGUACGAUUGUCACCCGUUUUUCAAAAAUAUGGCUUCAAUUCUAGGAGUAUAUGUUAGACAAGAAAUCAAAAUAUUUGAUGAUAAUUACACGAUGAAAUUAUAAAAUAUAUGAAGUGCAUCAAGGAUAAAGCUGCGAAGGAUCACGUUUACUUCGUAGUAAGAUAUUUAAAAUUUAUGAGCACUUAUAAUUAUUCAGAUUGUAAAACGUUUUUUAAACAAAAUUGCAGCACUCCACACCUUUAUAGUUGACAACCUUUUGUGAUGUAUACGACAGAUAAAAUAGAGGAUAGUCUGGAGGAGUGAGCAUUCGGGUUACUCGACAUGCUCGGGUCGGGUAAUUUGAGGUUUCAAAAGUUCGGAUUGCUCAAAUCGCUACCCAAGAUGUACCAUGGGAGAACAGUACCUGAAGUUUCAGUACCCGAAAUGUCGGGUUCGGGUGUCAAGAAAAUUUGAGAGAGGAACAAGAACAAGAACCCGAUGAACAAGAACAAAUCCAAGAGAAAGGAAAAUUUGAGAAGAAAAAUUAGGAGAACAGGUAACGAAACUUAGCAGCGUGUCAAAAAAAUUUAUUGUCGGUCCUCGCUUUGCAUCCACAUCAGGUUCCAAAAAGGAAAAGCAAUAACCAAUAGCACACGCAUCUCGAUUCUCUCGAAUCCUCUAUAAGGUUCCAGUAUCUUCGAUUCCCUGGAGUAGGACGUACCAUUAGCAGGGAUGUCACCUGCUAGUGAACCAAGAUCAGGGAGAUGGGACCUCGACGGCGCCACGCUUUCCUCCACCAGCGCUGCGCCGGUCUCUUCCUGCCGCGCGCUCGCACACGCCGGCCGCCGGCACGGUCGUGCCAGGUUUGGAAUAUACUACUAGAAUAUGAGCAUUCGUAGUUGAUUUUUGUACCGGAUGGUAUUUCGUCCGGUAAUAACGUGUGAAAUUGGUACUGGAUACAAAUUUUCGAUCCUCGGAGAUAUUUUAGUACCAGGCAAUAACACUAACUGGUACUAAAUGUGGUGUUAUUGCCCGGUAGUCUAGACCAUUUAGUACUGGACAAUAACACCAGUACCCCGUGGAGUACCAUUUAGUACCGGUCAAUAACACCAACAGGUACUAAAUGUCUUGAUAUUAUUGACCGGUACUAAAAGCCUCUCCAUGAGUUACUUCAAAAGGAAAGUAUUUCUAACUCAAUCACAUGUGCUACGUAGAUGAGAUGGUAAGGAAGGUUCACGCGAGUCUUGAGAUCGUGGGUUCGAAUCCCACAGACCGUGCACGCGCAUAUUACGCGAUACCGGUCAGGCGCCCGGUACUAGAGGGGGUUACUGAUCAGUACUGUCGGUUCUCCAGUAGUGAUAAGACUCUGUAGGGCAACUGGAUAAUUGUAAGCACGGACGGUGCAGGUUCCAAGGGAAAUAAUGAAGGUGGAUCUUGCAGCAAGAUUUCUUGCUCUGAUAGAUUUUUAACAUUCCGCUCUAAAAUCUGCUUACAACCCAACUCCUCACGUGGAACGGAGGUGCUAUAUUUUGAAUGAUAAGGAUUAUAAGAUGAUCCUCCUCACCUCUCCAAACUUACAAUGUGGUAAACCCACCACAUUACAACCACAAUUAAACCACAUGAACCAACAACUACAGUACUAGAAGAUAUUGGGCUGGGGUAGAGUUUUUAUCUUUUCUGAUAACACAAAAGUAUUUGUGGUUUGUGAUGCAGGCACGGAGUGAAGCAGUUUCGGAACUGCUGGGCUGAUGGGGUGCCAAUGCUCACCCAAUGCCCUAUCCUGCCGAACAAAAAUUUCACCUACCAGUUCAAUGUCGUUGGGCAGGAAGGCACCCUGUGGUGGCAUGCUCACGUCCCCGGACUACGGGCAACUGUCCAUGGCGCAUUCAUUAUUCGGCCAAGGCAUGGAGCUGAGUCAUAUCCAUUUCCUCAGCCUCAUAAGGAGAUCCCAGUUAUUAUAGGUUUGUGAACCUUUCAGAUUUUUAUUGUUUAGGAUAUGAGAACCUUAACUUCGUGCAAAUUUAAUUGGUCCCCAUUUUGAGAAAAUAAAAUAUAUCAUGUCCUAUGGGAUUUAAAUUGUGCGCAAUUUUGCAAUGGUUUUGCAAGUAUCUAGUAGAUGUGAAAUGAUCCUGAUGAUUACAGGGGACUGGUGGGAGAAGGACCUUGCAGAGAUGGCCAGGAAUAUGACGAAGAGCAUCUUUCUGUCUUAUGCUAGUGCAUCCACAAUCAAUGGCUUGGUCGGAGAUCUCUUCAAUUGCUCAGGUAAGCAAUUAUACGAUUCUAAACAGCCAUUUAGCACAAUUAAACUCUAUUUAAUUACUGCACAGUAGCCAGCUGAUUAAAUUGUCAGUCUUAAUGGUCUUUAGUUUUAGCCCGUACAAAUGGCCGUUUAGCAUAAUUAAACAGCCAUUUUGGUGAAAACUGUAUACAAUUGUGUGUUUGGUGAAAACUAUAUUGGAUAUUUGUCCAUGUCGAAACCGAUAUAUCCUUUUGUUUCAUUAAACGAACUUCUUAAUUCAACUUUCAGGUGUUCCGAAAGAAGGCUAUGUUCUGGACGUGGAGCCUGGCAAGACCUACCUGCUACGAAUAAUCAAUGCGGGCCUCUUCUCUGAGUUCUAUCUGAAGAUUGCUGGGCACAAGUUCACGGUGGUUGCUGCCGACGCGAACUACGUCAGCCCCUUCACUACAGAUGUGAUCGCAAUCGCAGCUGGCGAGACAGUGGAUGCGCUGUUGCUGGCCGAUGCACCCCCUGGCCGGUACUACAUGGUCGCCCUACCCAAUCAGGCACCAUUGCCUGACACCCAGACUCCGGAGUACACGACAAGGGGGAUGGUGCGGUAUAAGGUCAGCCACAGCGCCGGAAAUGGCACAACUAUACUGAGGUCGAGCCGGGGUGCAGAAGAAGAACAAGGAGGAUAUUCGUCAGGUGAUGCGCCGAUGGUUCCUAAGAUGCCUGAUAUACAUGACACAAUUACGUCGUUCUAUUUCCACAGCAACCUGACCAGCCUGCGCCACCAUGGGCACUCUCUGGUCCAGCAGAGAGUCGACGAGCGCCUGUACGUCGUGCUUAGCCUCGGCACCAUCUGCAAGAAAGGCCAGUUCUGUAAGAGGGGUGACAGUGACGAGAACCUCCUAGUGGCCACGAUGAACAAUGCUUCCUUCCAGCACCCCACAGCGAUACCGACACUACUAGAAGCACACUACUACCACACCGGCCUCAUCAAUGGCACGACACAAGAACUUCCGAAGAGGCCACCAUUAUUGUUCAACUUCACCGAUGAAGCCUUAAUCCCGUUUGGACCCAAAGAGAUGCGGCUAGAGCCGACUUACAAGGCGACAUUGGUCCGGCGGUUCCGACACGGCGCCGUGGUGGAGAUAGUCUUUC
RNAcentral lists this long non-coding RNA (86148 nucleotides) under Setaria viridis. Its description in RNAcentral is "long non-coding RNA (SVIR_LNC009934)". The record is from RNAcentral. Lineage: Eukaryota; Viridiplantae; Streptophyta; Magnoliopsida; Poales; Poaceae.